This 45269-nucleotide long non-coding RNA is filed under the name Vitis vinifera (wine grape). RNAcentral's name for it is "long non-coding RNA (VVIN_LNC004467)". The record is from RNAcentral. Lineage: Eukaryota; Viridiplantae; Streptophyta; Magnoliopsida; Vitales; Vitaceae.
UUUAAUUAAAAAUAAUUUCAUCCCCUUUAAUCAAUCAAUUAAUUCUAAUUCUUUUCCAUAUUAUAUACUGCAACCAUGUUCUAUUAUCAUUCUCAAAAUGAUCCUCUAAGACCCCAUUUGGAUGUGACUUCCAAGAAAUUAAAAAGUUACUUUUCUAAGUUCAAUAAGAACUUUCAUGCCAAACAAAACCUAUGGCUUAAAAAAUAUAGUUUAAUUUGAAAACCACAAUAACAUUACUUCUUGUAAAAACCCAUUUUGACUUGUAUAAAAUAGUGACUUUGACUUGUGUCUCAGCUUCCAAUUAAAACCAAAAACAUGAAACCAUCCCAAACAAGGCCUUAACUCCAACAUUCAAGAGAAGCUUCAUCUUUCUUCAAAAGCAUUAACUCAACAGCUCUGACCCUUCCUUUCAGGGGAAGUAUUCCCAGUCCUGGGAUUUCUAGGUGGGUAAAGUACCCAGAAGAACCCAUUUCAAGAACCCAUAAACACAAGAUGAAGUUAAACCCACCUCUCUCUCUCUCUCUCUCUCUCUCCACCACAUCUAACAUAUUUUGCAAGACUGUUAAAAAAAAACCCUACUAGUGGAUAAUGAAAAAGCUAGAAGAAGGAUUCCUCUAGUUUCCAAUACAAGUAAUUAUUAAUAUUGGAAUAAUUUUACCUACCCCCACCGUGGUUUUUCAUACAAAUUUCAGAUCAGAUAAUUCCUGCAAUGCAAUGGUCUGUACAGACUUGAUUGCCAUAGCCUAUUAUUGUUCAUUCCUUCCUUCAACAUUAUCUAUACCAACAAUGGCAGAAACCCACCAUGAGUUUGCAGAAGUUCAAGAAAGGGAUGAAGACCAGAUUCGAUUACUGUUUGGCAAGUGGCCGUGUGUUAUCCCAAAGCCAUUGACGUGCAGAACCAUCCAGUAACGGCGAUACCUAUGACACAAAUAAGGGAUUUUGCACUGUGAGGAAGAGAUCAUAUUUUCUGAAGACCCAUAGAAAACCCAUCUAUAAAAGUUUAUGUAGUGUUUUGAGAAUUCCUUUCUGAUAAAAUCAGAGGAGGUAAUAAUACCCUACAGCAUGAAUACUGGCUGAAAACUUGAUGGCCACUUACCUUCUCCCAGACUUCUGAAUGGUAAUCGUUGAGCCAAUCAAUCUCGGCAGUGGAGAGUAGAGAUAACUCAACCAAUUCAUUCUGCAUGACAGAACCAUAAAAUGUUAUUCGGAUUCAUAGAGCAUAAGCACCCAAUAUGUUUGAGAAAUGAUCUUAAAAUGAACUGGGAAUUGGUCCUAGUACAAAUCUGCAGGCCUGCAAAGCUCUUUGAUUCUCAACCAGACCAAAAUUUACAAGGUGUUUACUAGCAAAUCAAUGUUUUACCAGUUUUCUUGUAAGGACAUUGAUCAUACCUGAAUUGGAACAAAUGUGAGCUUUUCAAAUCCCAAAUAUCCGAUACCUCCAAAACGAUUUGGGGUGUCCAUCUCUUUAACACAAAGGAGAUUCUGCAUUACAAGGAAAACUUAGAUCACAGAAUUAUAACAGAAUGCAAAAAAAUCAAGGUAAAGAACACCAAUUACCAGGAUGGAAAAUAGAAGCAACAACUGAAGAGAAAUUAAUUUGCAUACCUCGAUCCGAAUACCAAAGGCAUGGUCUUCAUAAUAGCCAGGUUCAUUGCUAACAAUCAUGCCUUUCUGUAAAGGAGUCAUAUUUCCAAAUCGAAAGCUAAUACUUUGAGGGCCUUCAUGAACAUUCAAUGCAGCUCCUACACCAUGCCCAGUCCCUACCACACAAGAUUAAAACAGAAACAAUAAAUAAGCACAAAUUUCAAUUGAAUACAAACUACUGACAGGGAAAAAUAUUUCAACUGCACAAGUAAACUGAAAUGAGAAGUACCAUGCCGGUAAUCAAGUCCAAUCUUCCACAGAAAGGACCGGGCAAAUGCAUCCAAUACAAAACCAGGAGUAUUUUCAGGGAAUACUGCCUGAUCAAGAGCUAUAUGACCCUGCAAUUGACACCAUCAGAAACCAUCGAACUAACUAAAUUCUUAAACGCCAAAAUUGUUCACAGAACACUGUCAUAUAGUGACUUCAAAUGACAUAGCAGCACAAAUAGGAUGAUCAUAUACUGUGACUGAACCAUUAAAAAGGUCCCACUUAUGGAUCACUGCUGGCUUGGAGUAAUCUCGAAAUGAAAAAGCACUAAUAGUAUAUUCAAUCCAUGACAUGAUGCUAGAAUAUCACAAAGCCAUAAGAUACCUGACAGCCAUUUGUCUGAAUUGUCCAGUGAUCGGUCUUUUUUUUUGGUCAAAAGAAAUUAACCAAAAAAAAAAUACAAUUUUAAAACUAAUAAACUAUUCUAUAUACAAACUAGUGGGACAACAAGAGUGAUUUCCUGUAAAGUAUUAAAGAAAUAACAUAAUUUUAAAUACAUGAACAUGCAUAUAAGCACAUCUCCCACAUGCACAUGGAGGGCUUAAUAGCUUGAAAUUUGUUAGCCAACAAUUCAACAUCAUCCAUUUUCUUUUGCAUACUUUUUUUUAUUUAAGAAAUGUACCAUGAGCAACCGUAAGACUUCAUCUUUUAUUAAAUAGUAUGUGUCCAUAUUAUACAUUUAAGAAAGUUUUAGAAGAUGCAGCACCUGUAAAACUCGGGUGAAGCAUUCUUUUUGCCGUGGAGUAGGUUCGCCAAAAUGCACUGUCCUGGUUAUAUCGGUUGUUCCAUCAAUAUAUUGAGCUCCACUGUCUAAUAGGAACAUUUUCUUCACAUCCACAAUGCUACAACUAUCUGGAUUUGGUUUGUAAUGUAUGAUGGCACCAUUUGCACCCGAAGCUGCAAAAAUCAUUCUAUCCAUGACCGGUGAAGUUGAAAGGAAGAACCAGUACAACAUUUAUCAAAUUAGAGUCCAAAAUAUGGUGAUUAAGCAUCAUCAUUUAUGAAUUCUUAAUGCAGAUUCUGUAGUGGAAAAGAUUUCUCUAUUAAAAGUUGUAGCCAACAUGCUUUUGCAUGACUGCAAGAGAUAUAUCAUAGAAUCAUAGCAUUAUCUUCUACAUCAAAGGUAAGAACAAUGGAUUUAUGCCAAUAUCCAAUCACAUUUUCUGCAAGGAGUGAAAGCAUAAUUGGGAUACUGAUCUUUGUUUGGUAAACUCAAAGAAGAUUUUGUACAUAGGGUCUAACCCAAUCUAAUCCACUAAUUGCAUGAAAUAUAAAUUUCCUUGUUCACUAGGGUGUGAAUUACCACAUUUCCCAAACCAUGCCUUAAAAUUAUGAUGGAAUUUCAACCAAGAUUUGAAUUUAAACUUUUUGUUUGGGAAGUACAAAUUCAUCAAUGCAAUCUAACCCAAUAUUACAAGGGCAAGUACAUUUUAGAACAAUAAUUCCAAGAAAGGAUGAACAAUCUUUUUGGUUCAUCACUGAAAAGGAGAAAGGAAUGGAAAAUGAAAUAAGGGAAAAAAGGAACAAGAACAAUAUUCUUUUUAAAAUGACUUAUUUUUGUUUUGUAAAGCUCUUGUAACAUGAGUAAGAAUAUUGUAAACAUCUUGCCAAGUAAAAUUUUCCCUUAAAUCAAACCUGUUGCAUGAGGACAAUUUGGGUGGCCCCCGUAUUUCACUUUUUGCUCUUCUAACUCAUAGACCAACCAAAAGAACUAAGAAAAUAUCAAAAAUUUUGUCCCCUCCCUUCCCCUCCCCUUAUUAAAGGGAACACAAAAGAGAACAGCCAAAUGUCUCAAAAAUGAAAUCAUAUCCUAAGCCAGUAUGCCAUGAUGCAGGGAUCAGGCAUUUCCAUGACAGGACCAACGAGGCAAUAGCUGAAGAAAGGUUUGAUAUAGCAUCCCUCAUAUAGAUCAUACAUUUUGCAAGUUCUAUUGACACAUUUCCAUAAAUCAAAUUCUAAAAUCCAACUCUUGAAAGAUGAAAAUAACAAUAAUAUGUAUGCAUCUAUAUGUAGAGUAAGAUAUUCUAUUUCCAGUAGAAAGCUUUGAUUUGUUAUCGUUCGUUUGGAAACUUGGUUGAAAGUUACAAGAUCCUUUACCAAUGAUGAAGAAUCUCUGAUAUUGAAAUUGGAUUCUUCAAUGAGGAGAAAAAAUAUAAUGAAUAUAGAAGUUAGCGUACCACUUAUAGUAUCAAAGCUUGUAUCCAAGAAACCAGCCUGCAUAGAACGGAAUUGAAGAAGUUUAUCUGCAACAUCUACCUCUGUCAAUAGCACACCCUUAAGGAUUUCUUCUUCCAGCCAGGACCAAAACUGUGCAAGAGCAGCUGCAUCCCUGAAGAGAAGACAUCACACGACGUGUACUUCCUGAGUUUUUUUUUUUUUGUUAUAUAUAUAUAUAUAGGUAAAAAGGCAAAAUAUAUUAAAAAGCACAUGGAAAAGGCGCAUCAAGUGCACAUGGAGUAUACAAAACGGCUGAGAGGUAAGAGAAGGAAAAACAUACAAACACUACCCAAUACAAAGGCAUGGCCUGAAGACAAGAAAAACAAAUGGCACCCAAGCGACCAACCAACAUGCAGCCAAAACAUAACUGCUAACACCAGGGGAAAAUAGAGUUAGUCUUGACCCAUCCUUCGAACCACUUUUCCCAACUCUAGCUUGAACCCUCGGAAACCACUUUCCGGCUCUUUCUCUCUUUGCCACUUCACUGGGAGUAGUUAAUCAAACUCUCCAACUUCUAAAGCUCCCUAUCAAAACGAGAUGUAGACAAGGGUCCCCCUUAGUACCUAAAGCCCACCCCUCUGCACCCCCCCCCCCCUGUGUAAGACCAUUUUUCUGCCUUCUAACUUCAUCAAAAGAGAGGCAAAUUCCUUCUCAAACCCAUCCACAGGCAAACCCAAAUACUCACUGAAGGAGACAAAAUUCAUGAGUGAAGAAAGAUUUCCAGCUCCCAUCAAGUCCUUGCUAGGGCUUUCCUUUCCCUAAACAGGGAUUUAAUGGAAGGCUCCUGAAAGGCUGAUGAGAUUUUGACCUGUCUAAUGGCCAAUGAGUAUCUAAAAAUCUCCUUAGAAACUCUGAUAGGAAAAAGGAUCUCCUUACAUAAUGCAUCCCAAGGAGAUUACACAAAGAGGACCAGAGAAUUAAGAAUAAACCAGAAAACAUUUUCUGUGAUAAAAAAGUCCACUGGAAUAAAAGCUACAAUGAAAAGCAAUAAGCUUAACUCUAUAGUAGCUCAUGCAGUAUUGACGAUAACUACUAACAAAAUAAUUCAUAUCUGCAAGAAAAAAAUUUCAUUGAUGUUCUGCUCCAAAGGACUAAUUGAGAAAAACAAUAAAUUGAACCAGUAAAUUAAUCCUUACUAAAUGCAUACAUCCUUGAUAGUUUCCAUAUUUAUUAUCCAAAACUACCAUAUCAACUCCAUUUUUAAAACUUAAAUUUUAAGGUACAGUAUAACCAACAUACUGUUUAAACAAAAACAUGAAUUAUGCCAUUAAGCAACAAUAAAUCAAUCCUUUCUGAUUUGCCAUAAAGGGGAUUACAAAAUAAAGCCUAGCUUAUUUAAAUAUUCGAUAUCCAGAACUACCAACAACUAUACUUUUUAAACUUUAAUUUAAGGGGCAUUAUCGUUUACAGUCUGACACUCAUUCCUGAGCUUAGAAACUUAAUAGCUAGAAGUUGAUAGCAUAAAUAAGUUUCCAAAUAGCCGGAGAAAUUCAACACAAAGAAAUCAUGUUCUGGGGGAAUAUUUGAUUCACCUUAGAUGAGAAUUGCGCAUCCCUUCCAAUUCAGCCUGAUUUUUCACAGCCUUCGCCAGCAAAAUAGGUGAAAUCUUAUAAACUCCAGUGGGCACCCCAGAUUGACCAUUGGCGACUCCAUAGGCCUCAGACUUAUUUUUCCUCUUAUUAUCAAGGCUCCCAGAAUACUGGUCACAAGCAGCCUCGUAGGUGUUGACAAUAGCAGCAUUAACAGAGGACGUAUCCAACCAGAGGUGUGCCCCUUUCGCUGCCAAACUGAAGAAGCAAAUCAUGUUUUAGUUAAUGAAAGUAUGAAAUCUGUCCAACCCACUAUAUGUUAGAUAUCAGGCCACUCUGAAAAAAAUAACCCAAUGAUGGCAAAUCCUUGGUGUUAUACACAAGACACAAAUGCAAUUAGCAUCUUUCAUGCACAAAUAUACUUGUUGCUAGUUUUAUUCACAGCCACUAAGUUGCAGUCCAACACCUUGUAUCAGCCUCAGAAAUUUUACACCAAUGGUAGUGUCCUAGCCACAGUUACAAACCUCUAGAGCACAUCCAAAGUUAGAGUCCGGUGAGACUCUGAGGUAUCCACUAUAUAUGGAAAAUAAGCUACUUUCAUAGGUACCGAAGUAGAAUAAUCACUUGAGCGUAACAAUAUGCAAGUGUUCAUCAACACUGCACAAAUUUUGACACUGACAAAAAGUUUUCAGCUCCCAAACUUACUUCUUUAUUUCAGCUAGAAUGGAUUCAUAUGGUCUCAACUCUAUGCCUGCAUUCUUCAAGUGAUCCAUCACUUCUGGGCUGACUUUAGAAUCAUCAAUAAAUAAUUUUGCCCCAUCAAUCUCCACAAUUAAGUAUGCAUACAUAACAGGUGAGUUUGGAACAUCAUUUCCUCUCUGCAAACAAAAUUGAGAGUAUUAUUUAAAUUAAAGAUUAAAGGACCAAAACACAAACCAUUUCUGAAUAAUAAAUCAUAAAAUUUGCCUUUAAUGAAUAGACCGGAUUUAAAAAAAUGAAAUCCCGUAUGCCAUAAAGGCGGUCCUGUAUCCUAGACUAAUUCUCAAGCAGCCAGCUUUGAACUUUGUUAAACAGAAUUUGAAACCAUCCCAGGGAUAGAAGUCGGGGUUAUUAUAACAUAUCUAAGAAAGUUGGUCAGAAGGAUUACCAAGUUUAACAGCCAAGAAACUUCAUCAAGCAUAGAAACAACAAUAGCAGAACAACCAGCAUCAAUGAGUUCAGACCUCAGGGAAGACAAUUUUGAUGAGACAUCUAAACCAGCAUAUGUCAGCUCAUGCACUCUAAUUGGUUUUCUUGGAGGCUCCGGCCUUGAUUCUUUCCAUAUUUCAUCCACAAGAUUUAAAUCAUAUAGGUAAACCAAUUCAUGAUUCUUCUUAGCAAUGGCCUCUUUCAAUUCCUCUGCAGCAUCAGAAGAAAAAAGAAACUGCUCCCUUCACAAAAUCAAAGAGAAGGUGGCAUCAGACAGAAGCAAGUAAAGAAUAAAAAUAAAAAAUAAAUUACUUUACAGCUAAUAAUUUUUUUUUAAAAAAGAAAAAAGGAUAAAAAUAGAUGCAUAAGAGAGAAGAAAAAUGAAUGAAUAAUUUUAAGCCAUCCAUUUGACUCAAAAGCCAAAGCUAUAAGAUAGUGGGCCUAUAAUGUAUGUUAAGCCAACUAGGGUUAAAGCACUAACACUCCACUCCACUACACAGGCAACCUCUUUAAGCUUGCUUGUAGGUUCAAUAAAUAGGGAAAAUAAACAAGCAGCUGGUUUGAACUCAUGGCUCCCCAAUAAUCAAGGUUUUGAAACUAUGUUUGAGCUAACAAAAAUGAAGGUAUACUAACAAAUAGUGCCAGUUAUCAAGAAGGCAGAGAUGAGAAUUUUUCCAUUAACUAAUUGACCUCCACUGGGACCAGCAAGGUUUGUCCCAACUAUUUGGGAUCAGCCAUAUCAAUCAAAGCACAGCUGAUCAAGGUAUGCCAAAUUCCUAGGAAACCAGCUGGUGACAAAAGAGGGGCCUACAAUGAACCUUGAUCAACACUAUUUGGUGCAAAAGGAAAUAAUGACACGCAUAAAGCAUGCUUCUGAAUGCUUUUUACCAAAUCCUGACAUAUGUAAAUGAUACAUCUAACACAGGCUUCAUCUUAGUGAUGAAAAGUAAGGGUUAAAAUCCACAUUUUCAAGGUAAAGAUAGUUAAAAAUAAAAAAUAAAAAUAAAACAUAUACUUCAAUCAGAAGCACAUAAUAACAAGAAGGAGCACCCUUUUUAGGAGGUCUGAAUGUUACUCACAGGAUCAAUGCCAAUUCUGCAACCAGGAGCCAAAACAUCAUUAAGCCAUUCACUGGUUGUAGGAACUCCAUAGUUACCAGCCCGCAUAAGAAUCCAAUUAGAGCUUAACUGCUUCUCUGCCUAGUCAUAACCAAGAGAGAAAAUUACCAAUAAAAUUAAUAUCCCUCAAGCUACAAGAUAUCAAAAUGUUAAUAAGAGAAAAAUAAAUAGAAACUACAAAAAUUUGACAGACCUCCCAAAAGUAAAAUAGAAAUAAAUAAAGCUUUGAGACCAUGAUAUAUAUAGCUAACUCAGCAGAAUGUCUAAAAAGUAAAUUUAUAGUUCUUUUUUCCCAAACCUGGAGAAAAUAACGCCCAUCUGUCCAAAGAGCUGCUUUAUCCUUUGUGACAACAGCAGUACCAGCACUGCCAGUAAACCCUGAUAUGUAGGCCCUCCUCAUAUAACAUUCAGCAAUGAACUCACUCUAGAAGCCAAAAUAGAAGUGCUUCAGAAUUAAAUAUCCAGUUGACUCAACGACGACAAGUACUAUGUGGUAAAUGGAACCAAAGAACAUGAAUCCAGAUAAACCUCCAAGUGGAACUGGAGGCUUAAUUUGUUCCCUUAGAAAUUGAAGGUAAAAAUAUCACUAAACAGAGAUGCAAUUAACAGUAUAAUGGUAAAAAGUAAGACAAGCAUUUUUAAUGGUAUUUCUUAGAAUCCUGAAAAUGAAAAGGAUUCAGGAUUAGGAUGCAUGCCCCAAGCUUGAUUUGCACUAAUCUGAGGUUAGGCUUAAAAUAGAAGUCAAAUGAGGGAUAGACCAGAUCUAUCAUUGGCCACGCAACGCUCAACUUAAAGAACUAUUUGGAUAAAAUUCCCAUGUUAUUAAAUUAUUGGAUUGUGUCAUUGUUGCAUUCAUAAAUUUAUCAAACAAGAACUCCAUGAAAAAUUUAAAAAGGUAUGUGGAAAAAUAAAUAUAAAAACAGACAUCAUGUAAUUCUAUAAGACAUUGACACAAGCCUUUUCAAAAUCUACCAUUAUUAGAAACUCCAAAACACCAAAUUUAAAAACAAUUGCUCAAAAUAGUUAAACCCAAUUAUAAUUCAGCAAUAACAGACCAUUAAAAACCCAGACAAACUGGUAAGUUAAUUAAAAAUAAUAAUAAAUUAAACCCAAUAAGUGAAAUUUUCUCUUUUCGGAUCCCAAGGAAGAAAGCGGUAAAGAUUACAGGCUUUAAUUUCUUCUCCUCAUAUAGUUUUUUUAUUAAAAGUCAAGUAGCUCCAAACCACCAAGAAAAGAACAGAAAAAAUAUAUUGAUGAACCCCCAAAAUCAAAAAGUUCAAAAUAAUGGCUCAAAACACUUAAAAAUGGUAGACAUGCCAAAUCAACGUAUCCUGGUUAAGGUUUUUGCAUGACUUGAAGCUAAUAAAAAGGUUGAUACCAACUGCUUGCUUCAAUUGAGGAGGCCCUACAAAGCUCUCAACCUGGACCAAUAUCUUAUGACUUAUGUGUUUGAAGAGUAAUGAAUCAUUUGAUCAUCUAUUUCUUCAUUGUACCAUAGCAUUGGAAUUUUGGCAUGGAUUGUUCCAUAUUGCUAUGAUUGAUUGGGUACCUCCUGGAGACAUAGCAAAGACAUUAGGAAUCUCUUUUAAAGUCUUUGGUAGCCUGACAAAAAGGGAAGAUUCUGAUAGGUAUCUAAUGAAGGAAAAAUUUAUUAGUGAUAUUAUUGAAUUUCAAGAACAGGGCCAGACUGAUACAAGAUAGCUAUUCGGGAUGCUAUCACUCUCCCCCCAAACUCCCAGAACAGCCAGCUAUCCUGACCAAUUCCAUAUUUUCCUAUUUAAGCUAUUCCAGCUUGUACCAAGAGUGUUACACAGCCUGUACAAGGACUGUUAACACUAACUGCCAGUUUGCAGUACACUUCUCUUCCCUUUUCUGGACUACACAUAACGUAUACGAGGCCUAUCAGAUUCUUUGGCAAUUGGCUAUCUUAUCCUUGAUGUGGUUUUUAUGGUUGGAGAGGAGUGCUAGGAUAUUUAAGGAUUGAUGGAGAUUUGUGGAGGCUAUUUAGGGUUCGAUUUACUCUUUCCAUUCCCUGUGAGCCUCAAUCACAAAGCCUUUUGUUGGUAUUCCUUUGUAUCUCAUAUAGCUAGAUUGGAAGAAUGUCUGCAACUCAAAGAGAUCGAAUAUGAAGACUUAUGAUUGGUUGGUACCCUCUCCUAUAGGUUCAUUAAAGUUAAAGUUUGAUAGGUGUUUUUUGGGAAAUCCUAGGCCAUUAGGUAUCAGAGGAGUCAUAAAAGAUCAUUCAGGAACAGUACUAAAAGUGUGCUCUAAACCUGCAGGAAUGGGUUCAGCUAUUGAAGUGAACAUAUUAGCAUUAUUUGAGGGCCUGGUGCAUGUCAAAGCUUUGUGCCGAUCCAAUCUAACUAUAGAGGGAGAUUUUAAUAUAGUAAUUUCUUUGGUGUCUAAAAAGGAGAGAGGCUAAUAGAAGUUCAAAAACUGGAUCCACAAAAUCAUACAUAUUACUAAUGAGGUGGGAUGCUCCUUCUCUUAGGUUUCUUGUUCAACUAAUGAAUCAUCCAGGCAAGAAGCAAAGCACUUGGUCUCCUGUGUUGGAGAUUUCCUACCCCUUGAGUGAAUAAAGUUUCUUUAGUAUAUAUACACUGUCUUUUCUUUUGUUUAUGUGGAUGAUUUUAGCUUUGGAGCAGCAAUUCUACAUCUUGGAAGGAUUGUUUAUCCUUCUCUGUAUUUACCAUUGAAUAAAUGAAUAUGUUUGUUUCUUAUUAGAAAACCUACAGACAGUAAAACAAGACAAACAAAAGAUUAUGAAGCAAAAUCAUAAAGUUGUACCUAACAAGUGAAGGUGUUUCAAAAUUACAAUUAUGUCCUAUUCCCAUCUUUUUUCAUAAGCCAAAAACUCCCAAUUGAAUUUUAACACUAAUUCACAGACAUAAUCAAUAAAAAUAAAUAAAAAAUAAAAAAUAAAAUUGAUAAGCACCAACAUAAUCAAUAAAAUCGCGAACUAAAAUUCAGAAACAGUGAUUUCUUAUUUUUUUUCAAUCUUUUCUAAGAAACCAAGUGAAUGCCACACAAAGUUCAACAUUAAAGCACCAAUAAAACUAUAAAACACACAUAACAUUCUCUUCUUCUUCGUCUUCUUCUUUGGGAAAAUAAGGGGAAAAAAGCAUGAUGAACCUGAUGACUGAAGCUUCCUGUUCUAUUAUUAUUUCUUUUCUUUUUCCUCAACUUUUCUCAAGACAAUUUCUUCCUUUUCCUACCUUUUCUCAAACAAUCUUUUUCUUUUCCCACCUUUCCUCAUAAACCAAACAAACCCCAAUACAACUCAACAUGAGUAUAGCAUAGUAAAAACUAAAACUUCAUAAUAAAUUAAAAGUUUUUAGUCAAUAAAGAUCAACAAGUACAAUUCAAAAUUUUAAUUUUAUUCCCUUUUCCUUCAUUUUCUAAACAACCAAACACCCCACUCCAAAUUCAACUAAAAAAAAAUACCAUUUCAAUCAUAAAACCCACAAUUAAAAAAAAAAAUGGAAAAGCACACACGCGCGAGUUGAACCUGAUUAGAGGAGGUUCCCCUCUCUGAAAAUUUUACAGUAUCUUUUUUUUUCCCACCUCGUCUCAGAAACCAGACAAACCCGAAUUGAAAAUCGACACCAACACGCCAUAAAAAAACACUACAAUUACACAAUAACUUAAACCAUUCAAUAAAAAUCGUGAUGCAAAAUUCAAAGUGUUAAUUUUUUUUUUUUCUUUGCCAACAUUUUCCGGCCAACCAAACAAACCCCACCAAAAAAUCAACAUGAAAUAGCCAUCAAAACCACAGAACCCGCAAAACAAACUACCGAGAAAACAUGAACUGAACCUGGUGGGCGUCCUGGGAAGGGAUAAUAUACGCAUCAAUUCCAAUUCCGGGCUUCGAGAACAGCUCACGCAGAGAACGAAGCUUCUCAUCCUGCUCGGAAUCGGCAGAUUUCUUCCGAAACUGAGAAGAGGGUUUUGCGGUAAUGGAAGCGCAGUUUCGAACAAGGAAAAUAGGGCGGUUCUGGGAUUUUGGGCAGAAACUGUGGGGACUCUUGAAUUUGUAGAAAAUGGGAAGCGAGUGAGAGAGGAAAUGGAGACAACGGGGAUGCAGCUGAGAAGAACGAGGAGAGAAAGCCGUAGAGAGGGUGAGAGGAGACAUCAGUGAUGAUGCUGUUGACCGCAUGGUUGCUAAUUCAGAGAGAGAGAGAUAAGGCCUCUGCGAGAGAGCCAAGGAUGCAGCACUCCUGGGAGGCGGGGAGAGAAUCCAAGAAAUUUUGGUGUUUGGACAGAGACCCAAAACGGUGCGUUUUGAGGAUGCUCAUAAAACGGUGUCGUUUCCUUUAGUAUUUCCUUAGAAAAAAUUUCCCAAUAUUGUACCCUUUAAAAAUGAAACAAAUAUUAAUUUUGCAUCAUCCACUAACAUAACCAUUAAUGUUUUGAUACAUUGUAUUUGUAUAUUAAGAAAAUACAAAAUAAUAAUAUUUUUAUUUGGAUUUGUUAGGAUAUUUUUCCUAUUUUUUGUUUUCAAAAAUAAAAACUUUUAUAUAAAAAUAAAAAUUAUUAUACAAAAAUAUAUAUACUUAUCUUAUGUCCUUAAAUUUUAAAUUUUAUUUUUAAAAAUAAUUAUAGCCAUGUUUGGCAACUGUUUUUGAAAACAUGAAAAAUAGUUAUUGAAAAUCAUGUUUAAAGAUUGUUUUCUAUUGUUUUAUAAAAUAAAAAUCUAUUUGAAAACCCACUUUUAACAUAUUUUCAAAAUUUUAAAAUAUGUUUGUAAAUGUUUUAUGUCUAGAAAAAAAUGUGAUCAAUUGUAUCAUGUCGUGUAUGCAUAUUUAGUUUUAUUACUUUGCAUUAAAUAUGAUCCCAUUAUAUUUUAAUAUGGUUUUUUUAUAGGGUUUAUUAUACUUUAUCCCCUCGCAAACAUAUACCAUGUUUUGCAUAUUAUCCCCUCAAAUUUAAAAUUGAGCAAUAUAUCAAUCAUGCUUUAUAAUGGUAUGUAUUGUACAUUUUUUGAGUUAUGACAUUACAUUUUUUUAUGGAAUGACAUAUGAUCUUCGCGUUAUUAAAGGUAAAAUUGUCAUUUUUCUCAAUCUGCAAUCUUCAUCUCCCCCGUCAAUGAUUUCUUCUCUUAUUGCAGUUGGUGAAGCCCCAUAUCGAAGUCCUCCCCCUAUUCUUACUUCCCUUCAAAGCCUUAAAAUCUCAAUCCCACAAAGUUGCUACCAAAAACCCCACAUAAAUUCUUCUUGUCCGUUGUUCCUCUUUGUUCAGGGGUUUUUAGUAGCAACUUUGUGGGGUUGGGUUUUAGGGCUUCAAAAGGACAAAAGAAUAGGGGAGGAGGGCCUCAACUUUGGGCUUUACCAACAGCAAUAGAGGAAGAAACGAUUGAUGGGGGAGAGGAGGGUUGCAAAUUAAGGUUAAAAAUAUGAUGAUCCUUGCCCUCACUUCUUAAAAAAUGACCAAUUUGCCCUUGUCACACGGAGAAGAUAUGCCAUUCCCUAAAAAAAUGUUAAAAAUACACAUCGUAUGGAAUUAUAAAGUAUAAAUGGUACAUUAUUCGAAUUUGAACUUGAUGGACCAAUGUGCAAAAUACAGUAUUGGUUGGGGGCAAAGUGUAAUAAACCAUUUUUUAUAUAUAUAUAUUUGAUUUUUUAUUUGUUUAUAUUUUCAAUUUUGGUCAUGAUUAAAACUUUGGAACCUAAAUGGAUACCUAAAAUGUUCCUAAACUUAUGUAUCUUUUGUACAUGGGCAUAAAAGUUGUAAUAGAAAGGAUAACAUUCACUUUACUUUUAUAAAGGUAAGCGCGUUGAAACGCAGCGUUUCGGGAGGGCUCAUACCCACAGUCCCACUUGAGCAGAGUAUCGUGGUGAUCGCCAGAUUCGCCACUGAUCUUCGACCUUGACCUCAACCCCCUGUUGUUGCCUCCGCAGAGCUCCGACCCCACAUCAAUGGCGAUCAUAACUGAAGAAAUCGACGAAAACCCUCGUUCUAAACCGACCCGCGAAACCCCUAAACCAACCCAUAAAACCCCCAAACCACCCCCAACGUCAACCUCACCAAAUCCAUUCUCCUUCUGGUUUUACUUCACUCUCUCAGUUUCUCUUGCCACUUUCCUCUUCUCCUCUCUUCCUUCUCUCUCUCCCCAAGAUCCCAAAUCAUGGUUCCUCUCUCUCCCCACCAACCUCCGCCACCACUACUCCAAGGGUCGAAUCAUCAAGGUCCAGACCGACGCACACCAUCCCCCAUUUGAAGUCUUCACGGUCCAAGAAGGCGCCAAAGCAUCUGAGAAUGUAGUGAUCGUUCACGGUUUGGGGUCUAGUUCGUAUGCCUUUCGCAAUGUUAUCCAAUUUUUGGGGUCCAGAGGGGUUCAUGCUGUUGGUGUUGAUCUCCCUGGUUCUGGGUUUUCUGAUAAAUCGGUGUUGGUGGAGGAAAUGGGAGAUGGUGGGGUUUUAGGGAGGUUUUCGGAGGUUUAUAGUCUUAUUCAAGAAAAGGGCUUCUUUUGGGCUUUUGAUCAUCUUGUUGAAACUGGGCAGAUGCCAUAUGAGGAAAUUCAGAUUCAGGUUUCCAAGAGAAAGAGUGUUAAAGUAUUGGAAUUGGGCCCUGAAGAAAUGGGUAGGGUUUUGGGCCAGGUGAUAGAUUCACUGGGGUUGGCUCCAGUGCAUCUUGUUCUGCAUGAUUCUGCAUUAGGAAUUUAUGCGAACUGGGUUUCGGAGAAUUCGGGUGUGGUGAGGAGUGUGACGCUUGUUGAUACCAUGCUAGGGGCCUCGGCUUUGCCACUAUGGCCACUGGGCGUCCCAGUGGUUAGGGAGGUGGUACUUGGGUUUGAGUUUGUGUUUGCAAGGCUUCUCAACUUGUGUUGUGUGCGAAAGAUUCCUAUUUCAGAUGUGGAGGCACAUAGAGUUCUUUUGAAGGGUAGGGAUGGAGCUAGAGCAGUUGUUGGAACAUGGAAGAAGUUGAAUUCUAGCUUUGAUUUGCAGGAAUGGGGUGAUUCGGAAGGGUUGAAAGGUUUGCCAGUGCAAGUGCUUUGGUCUAGUGGUUGGUCCAAAGAAUGGAGUGAAGGGGGCCGGAAGGUUGCUGAUGCGCUUCCACAUGCUACAUUCAUCACUCAUUCCGGUAGCAGAUGGCCUCAGGUAAUGAUUUAAUAUUUCCUAUUGCCAUUGCCUGAUGUUCAAUGUAUUUGAUGAAACCAUAAGUUUCAAACUCUAGGCUCCAUUUGGCUGAAUAUCAGAUGAUUUGUUCUAAAAAUUUAUAGAUGAGAUGAUUAUGUAAUUAGUUUAAAAUAAUUUGACUUGAGAAUAAAGUGGAUUAAACUCUUGUAUCAAAUGGAUCAUUUAACUACACAUUGGCUUCUGGAGUAGAGUAGUUUCACUGUAAUGCAACUGUGCUACAAUUGAUUGGUGAGUGAGGCUGAUUCUUGUAUGGUCCUGAUUGGGAAAUGGUGUAAUAAAUGGUCCUGAUCAGCUUUACCAGUUAUGUAGUCCCUACAAAAUCAAUGCGCUGCCAGGAGAUCCGGAUCAGUUUCUGAAUGCAACUUCAGUGAAGAAUGACAAUUUGAUAGUUAAAACUGUAUUGCUAAAUGUUUAGGGUUGAAACCAUUGAAGUUUGUUGCUGCAUUUAGAUGUUCUUUGCAUAUUAUGUCCACCAAAAGUAUUGUGUUGGUGACAGAUUUUGGAUUUGCCUUGCCAAUCAUGUCAUCCAAAAUAAUUGAGGAAUGGAAGAUUGUAAAUCUGUAAUAUAGAUCUUUCUGUCCCAACAUUUGCAGUGUUGAUUGAAUUUUGAAAAAGUUGGAAAAGACCAGCAACAACAAUUUUUCAAGCCAGCAAUUAGGUUGGCUGAAUUCUAGCUACUUUUGUGAUGUGAUCAAAAGAAAUGUUUGUGCCGUUUGUUUUAGCCUUUUGGUAUUCUAAGCAUUUUAUAACUAAUAGAUUUUUGGGUUGGCCUGUGGUCUCCUUUUUGACCUUUUCUGUACUCAUGUUUGAAUUCUUUUUUUCUCUCAAGAAAGUCCUCCUUUCCUUUCAUCUUCCCAUUCUUAAUAAAAUUGCCAUCCCUAAGAAAAGGAAGAAAAUCAUUGCCAUAAUAGAUCAUGGCUCCCAUCAUUCUCUUGGAAAUUAUUGUAACAUUUAUCCCUCCAUUUUUCUAGCACUUUAGGGCAUUGUUUUGGUUUCAGGCUGUGGUUAGUUGUUUGUCUUUUCCUUUGCUUGCAUUUGGACCUUUUUGUAUACAUCGUGUGUACUUGGUGCACCAAUUCCAAGUGCUUUUAAUAUAUUUAUUUAUUUACCUAUUUAGAAAAAAAAAACAUUUAUACAGAAGAAACUGUUUCCACCAUUUUUGUUUGACAUGGUCCAUUGUGAAGAGAGGCAUAUCCAUCAACCCACCUGCUUCCUUUUGUACAUUUCCAGUUUUCUAUCCGAUCUCAUCAUUUCAUUUUCUUUUUAUAAGUAAUUUGCAUAAACAUAUGUCGACACAAGUAGUUGGGAUAAGGUGCUUUUCAGUUGAGUUCAUUUUCUGCAAAUGGAUCGCCCAAUUAAAAACAAAGAAAUCAUAACCACUGAUCAAUUCAAUUCAUUUUUAGCUUUUAUACUUUCUUUUGUUGAUUGAGCUAUUGAUAGAUCAGGAAACCACUGCACUAAUCCUAUUACUGGUACAUGUUGUUACAUGUGCCGUUGUCUGCUUGCCAUGUUUGAGGCUCUUGCAUUCUGUAACCGAUGAACAUGACCUGUACAACUCAAAGCCCUUUGCUACCCAAUAUAAAAGACAUGUCAAAACUCCUAUUAUGCUCAUUUCUUUAAUCUAGGCAGAAACAAUUAACUUUGUGUUUGCCUGAAACUAGCAAUCCAUUGUUCUUGUAAUCAUAUAUUUUUUAUUACUGUAGCUCCAAUAUUUUGUGUUUGAUCAUCUCAGGAAGAUGCAGCUGAUGAGCUGGCCGAAAACAUUCUUCGAUUUGUGUCCUCGUUACCAAAAUCUGUCAGACAAGUUGAGGAAGAGCCUGUGCCCGAGCAUAUCCAGAAGAUGCUCGAUGAAGCACAAGGCGGUGACCAUCAUCACCAUCACCAUCACCAUGAUCAUGGUGCCCAUGGUCAUGCUCAUGAUCAUUCAGACGGUUACAUGAAUGCAUAUGGGCUUGGUCAUGGGUGGGCGAGUUGAUCCAUUUCCUACUAACAUUCACAAGUGAACCCUACCAGGCAUGAGCUUCCCUCAGAUCCCUGGGUGUUGCUUCUCUGGUAUCAUACUGUGCCAUUCUCUUCGAAGUUCUCUAUGCCAGAAUCAUAGUGAGAGAGAUUGUUGUUUUGAAGCUUUGAAGCUUUUGACUUAUCAGUGAAUGUUUGUGAAGACCAGCUUAUCUAUCAAAUUGGGUAGUCUUCUGAUUUAUCUUCACUUACAAGUUACAUCUAGUUUGUUGUUUUCUGUACUUUGUAAGUUUGUAACUAAGCUCUUUGGUUGCAAUGAGACACUGGUUGACUCAAGCUUGUCUGGAUUCUAUUAUUUCUGAAAGUGUGAUACCCAUGAUUUUGGAAUGAUUAUGAUCAUCUAUUUAUAUUUAUUUGCUCGGACUAUGUUUGGUUCUGGAAAAAUUGAGAGAAAAUGCGAGGGAAAGAAAAUAUAAAGAAAAAAAUAAAAUAAAAAACGUAAAAUCAAUAACUCAUUUUUAUAUACUAUUUCAAAGUGAUUUCACAUAUUUUAACUACAAUGCUAACUUGGUAGGUUGGUUGGGUUGAUGGUUAAUGUGAAACUAAUAUGAAUUAAAAAAUAAUCAAUUCGAGUCUAACACAAUCCGAGGUAUUUGAUCCAAGGUUAUUUUUUUAGUUUUCAUGUUGUAUAAAUCAAAAUUUAUUCAUAAUGUUUUUCAAAAAAAAAUACCAAUGUAUUUAUAUCCAAUUUCAAAUAGUAAAGAGACACAAUUCCAAAAUAGUAAAAAAAAAAAAAUUACAUAUAUUUUCAAAAAAAAUGAAAAAUGUACAUAUAUGAUUAUAGUUUAUUAUUUAAAAAAAAUCUAAAAAUUUAUGAGAGAAUAAAAAUUUAUAAAUAUUAUAAAAAUAUUAAAUCAGUUGGUUAGAUUUUGGUUGUCUAAACCUUAAUAUAAACUCAACUUAAAUUAAAUUCCAGUUGAAAAAACUUAAUUAAAAGUCGACUCAAGUAUUAAAAAUUAUUUUCUUAAAUUAAAUUCGAGUUGAAAAAACUUAAUUAAAAGGCAAUCAAAGUAUUAAAAAUUAUUUUCUGAGCUCGUCUAGAGAUAGGAUUUAAUAUCAAGUAUUGCAUCCUCAAUUUCACUUUUUUUAAUAUAAAAAUAAAUAAUUUUUAAAAUAUUAGUUUUAAAUUUAUUUUAUUCUAUUUUUUGGUAUUUUCUAUAGUUGAUUCAAACACGAGAAAAUAAUUUUUUUAAUACUUUCUUAAAACCAAAUAUAAUACUACCUUAUGUAAAGUUGAAAUAUUAGUAAUAUUUCAAUUAUAUUUUGGAUAAUUUUUUUUUCUUUAUAAACAAAAAUAGUUUUAACUCAUUAAUCAUAUAGAAGACGUUUGAUAAUGAUUUUAGGAAGUGUUUUAAGUUUUUUUAAUACUUUAAAAAUAAAAAUUUCCCAAGUGUUAAAAAAUGUCAAAAACACUUUAUAGAAUCAAUACCAAAUGUAGUCAUAGUAUGACUCAAAAUCGAAAAAAAUAUUUAAUCAAAUGAGAUUUAUCUCAAAAAGAAAAUCAAUUCAUUAAUUACAACUAACAGAAUUGAUUACGAACAAAUAAGAACAUUUUUAAAAAUAUUGUAGAUAUGGACUUUUAUCUUAUAUCUAUUGAUUAUAAAAAUAAGAAUGACUCUUGUAUUCAUGGAUCAACAUUACAACUAAAUAAUCGUUGACAGAUAGGAGGUUGGCCGCAUUCAUCAACUCUCUUUGUAUUCGAAUGUCGUAGGGCGUUUUGAUGAAUAUAUUACAAGGUAAGGAUAUGCAUUUUUUGUGACAAUAAUUGUUUUUAGCAUAGUUGGUAGCGGUUAAGGUCUUACAAGUGGUAGUAAAGUUAAAGUCAUGAAUUCAAACAUUAAUGGUUUAGUUCGAGGAGAGAUUAUUGGCAGAUUGAAAUAAUCACCCAAUAUAAUUCUUAUAAUCACAAUACACAUCCAUUUUUGCUUUAGAAAAAAGGUCGAUAUCAAGGUAUGAAUCAAUAUAUUAGUAUCAAUAGUAAUAAAAAUACAAGAUGGAUUGAAUAAUUAAUAAGAAAGAUAUGUUUUAUCAAGUUAAGAACAAUUUCAAUGCAUUUGUUUUUUCAAAUAAUUAAUGUAUCAAAAUAUACAAAAUAAUAUACAUUUGAUACUAAGAAAAUGAAUAAAAAAACAAAUUAUUUUUGUAGAUCAUCCGAUGAAUAAAACGAAAUAGACUAAAUACAAACCGAUGCAAAUAAGAUAAUUAUGAUUGAAUCAUUAGAAUGAUUCCAAGUUUCACCUUAUUUAACAUAAUCAUUUGCUUUGAAUUUUAGUUAGGUGUUAAAGUAGAAAUUAUAUUAGUAAAGAAUUCUCAUAUAAGUUAUAAAAAAAAGUUAGAAAAUAUGAUAUCUUAAAAAAUAAAUAUUUAUUUUUACUUUUAAAUAGCCAAUAAAUUAAAUUCAAUAAAAUCCUUGAGGAAUUUUCAAAAUAAUUUCCUGAGGCCCGGUGCACCAAAGGGAUGGUGCACCGGAUCCACCGGACAGUCAAAACGGACGUUCCUGUUAUCGAUAUACCACUUGACUGAAGUAAGCCAGCGUCCAUGUAUCUCGUUCCUUAAAUCCUCUGUUUGGCUCUCUAGAGAAUUGGGGAAAAAAUGGAAAAUUUUUGACUCGAUUCUUUCGGCUCUAUCUGUUGCAGGCAACCCAUUUUCUCGGCGUCCAAACGGACCUCAAAAUGGGAUGUUGCGGCGAUGAAGAAGAGGAAUUCCUCAAACACCUCAUGCCCAACUUCUCUGAAACCCUAACCUUAGGCUCCACCUUCCAAGCAUCCACUUCCGGCGACUCCGACGCCGUCAUUUCUGCGAUGAACUCGCACUUCUCGGCCCUCACCUGCCAGGACGUCCUCAGGGGCAUUUUCGAGAGGCUUCCGGUUGCCGAUCUAGCUCGGGCGAGUUGCGUGUGCCGAGUCUGGAACUUGGUGGCCUCGGACAGAGGGAUCCAGGUUCGAGCUUUUAGGGCUCCGUGGAAAUUGAAGGACGUGGUUGGAAUUCCGAGCUCCGGAAGCUUCUGGAGAGAUGAUAGUCUUGGAAAAUUUGCAAUCUCUCAUCGGUUGGUGCGCGGUGACUCUGUUGCUAGCCUUGCCGUGAAAUACUCUGUUCAGGUAUUGUUUGGUUUUCUAGAAAAUGAAGGAAAAAACGAAAAGAAGCCAAAUGUUCUGGUUGUUAGACUAAUGUAUUUGAUUUUGAUUAUUUUCAAUGCAACUGGAAUAUGGGAUUCGAACUCAGAAUUUUCUUUUUUUUUUCUUUGAUUUCUCAGCUACCAAGCGGACAUUAUCUCUCCAUUUGGUGGUUUAGUUAAUUUAGUUCAGAUAUCAAAUCCGAUUUGGCUGUUUGGCUGCUGAGAUAGCAUGGAAAAGAGAGGAAUUUAGAAUCUUCUAUUGUCCAUUCAUUGCUUUGAUAAUGAAGGAGCACAAAUAAAAUAAAAUAAAAUAAAAUCGCAUAGAAGCAUUUUAACACUAGUAAAAAGAAGGUCUAUGCAAGAUGAUACCAUACUAGAUAUACAUGCGUACUGCAAGAUCAAUGAAUGUCACAACCCACUUCUGCAAUAAUAUUUCGAAUUAGGGAACUUAUAAGAUAGUUGGUGAGUACUGGCUUGCCCAAGUGGUUUACAAACAGAUGCUAAGUGUUUCUUAGGGACCUUAAAAUGCAUGAAAGCAAGCUGUUAUAGCAGAUCAAUGGUCAUACAACUUUGCUUUGGGUCAGUUUGUAUUUGGGAGGGCUUCUUCACGCCUUCAAGUUUGAUUUGGGGGUUUCUAGCUAGCUACACAGUAAGUUGGGUGAAAGGGUAGGAUUGCAUGUCUUGCACUCUUUCAGCCUUAUUAUGAAGGUUAUUACCUGAUGCUGAUACCAUUAAAACAGGGCCCCAGGAGACACAAGUUAAAUAUGGUCCUAACCUUUGGCAUUUUUCAUGAUGUGGUUUCUCUCAAUACUCAAGUCUCUGCAUCUUUUGAUUUCUUUUAUAAGCUAAUUAGGGUUUCUAGCUAGCUACACAGUAAGUUGGGUGAAAGGGUAGGAUUGCAUGUCUUGCACUCUUUCAGCCUUAUUAUGAAGGUUAUUACCUGAUGCUGAUACCAUUAAAACAGGGCCCCAGGAGACACAAGUUAAAUAUGGUCCUAACCUUUGGCAUUGUCCAUAAUGUGGUUUCUCUCAAUGCUCAAGUCUCUGCAUCUUUUGAUUUCUUUUAUAUGCUAAUUGGGGAAUGAUGGUUUUCCAUCCGAGUUGGAAGUAGAUUGAUGGAGAAUUGGCAUGGACAGGCAUACAGUGGAUUGAAUUGAAGAAAUGAUCAGGUAUUAAAUCCCUAGAUUUGUUGAUUAUGGUCCAUUUGGGGCUAGAGCUAGAGUUGUAGAGAAGCCACAAACAAACCAUAAAUCCGCAUGUAGGGAUUUGAGAAAGUAGGGGAAAGAGAGUCUGGUGGAGAACGUCAGAAUAACAAGCUAGGGUUUGUGUGAGCAUUAAUUGCCUCUUUAAGCUUCUUGAGAAAUCUGUUAAGAUGACGCUCUUGGGCUGGGAUGAGUCUUUGUGGGAAAAAAGAGAAGGGAAGUUUGGAGAGCAGACCCUUUAUGUAUUUUUUGGACGGUUUUGAAGACAAAGAACAAAAUUGCAUUUGAAGAUAAUGUGCUGUCCAUUCAAAGACUUAAGAGCUCUUUUGUUUAUUUUCUAUGGUCGGAGACGAAAUUAUUCAUAAAAGAUGGUCCUUUGACUUUAGUUGGUUUCAUUGAUUGGGUGGGAUCUCGAUGAGGGUGGUUUUUUUGGCUCCUCCGCUUUUGAUGGCCGUUUUUUUGUCCCAGCUGGGGUGGGGGGUGCAUCUCUUCUGAAUUUUUUUGAGUUGCUAUUUUAGCGUCUCUUUUCUAUACAAUUUCUUCUCUUUUACUUAUAUAUAAAAAAAAAAAGCUUCUUGAGAAAUCUGGGAAAAGAAAGUUAGAUGAAGAAAGUGGAAAUAAAUCAUUACGGUCAGUAUGAAUGCCAACAGGUAAGAUUGGGGUUUGAGGGAAGAAAAAUGCUCAUAGGAGUUUGAAAGCUAGGGGAAAGAAUGUUGAAAACUAUUGAAAUUGACCUCAGGUAAAACUUCAUUGGAAUAUUGUAUAUAAUACCUAUCAAAAAACAAAAAAAUUGUAAAUAAUAGUAUUGCUACAUGUUAUUCUGACAAAGGGAUUUAAAAUCCUCAAUAAUAGCUUCUAGAUAAAUCCAGCCUCUUGAACUUAUCUAGUAAGCUCUAGGGUGCAACCAUACAAGAACUAAUGCAUCAGAUCCCAUGAGAACUCAGCACAGUGUGCUUGGCCAAGAGUGUUGCUUGGGAGGGACAUCCCAUAGGAAGUCCUCAUUUUGACCCCUUCAAAGUGGAAACGAUAGAAACAAUAAUGUUUUUUAAUAAAUAAAUAAAUAAACCUAAGCUAGUAACUUUCUUCCUUUGCCUGGGUGGUGUCAUCUAUCUACUUUGUGCAGGUGGUCUGGGGUCUGAACCUCCAUGAGACUCCUCCAUGAAGGUGUGUGUAAUAGAAUACCUCCAUUAGUGGUGAGAAUAAUUGAGAGAGAUGGGAUUUUUGUGUUGGCUAGUAAUAGUUAAGAAAUGACUGGAUGAAAUCAAAUUACAGGGUUGAAUAAGUUAAUAUUCUUAUAUAAAUUUGAAAGAUAGAUGUUAAUUCAAAAGUGCAAUAUUUGGCACAGCCUCGUUACUUGUUUUUUGUGUUAUCCCAUUUUUCUUAGAGGCCUUAACAUUGACUGUAGCAUGCUGAAUGAUUCAAUGAUGGAGAUCAGUCUUCCCUGUUGUGGCAACUUUUGUUCCCAUAGUUAUACAUUCCUUGAUUGCACAGAGAUUGAUUUUCUGCUAUCAUUUUCCACUAUUUAGAUUUUCACUUCUUGAAGGAAAGCUUCUUCGUUUACCCCCUUUUGUUGUUAACCAGAAGAAUGCAUUGCUGUCCUGAAAACAUUUUUCUUGUGUUUGCAGGUUAUGGACAUAAAACGUUUAAACAACAUGAUGAGUGAUCAUGGCAUAUACUCGAGGGAGAGGUUACUGAUCCCUGUAAGCAAACCAGAUAUUCUUAUCAAUGCCAUCUGCUACAUAGAGCUGGAUUCCUAUGCAAAAAGGGAAGUAGCGGUGCUGUAUCUGGAAGGUGGGCCUGACAAAAAGCUCAACUCUUUGUUGAAUAAGGUCUCCUCUGAGCAAGGCAGGAGAAGGGUAAUUGAGUCCUUGAAGAGAAGCAUGCAAAUAGAUGAUGGAACUGCCCAAUACUACUUGUCUAUAUCAAAUGGUGACCCUCGAGCUGCAAUCUCAGAAUUCUCUGAAGACCUUAGGUGGGAAAGGCAUGCAGGCCUGUCCUAGUUCAAAAAAAAUAAAUUGUGGAGCUAAGUUAGCUUCUACUGCAGAUUUGUCCGCAUUUUCAUGGGUUUGUGUGUGGUGGCUUUCCUUGCAAUGAUGUCCAUAUUAUUUAUUUUUCUCAAGGGAAUAUAGACUGUAAUUCUAACAUGACGGUUGUGAUCCUAAUGAACGAAGCAAGGAAGUCCCUUGGUGCCAUUUGUCCUGUGUUCAUUCCUUUUACUUUAGCCGAUUUUGUAAAUAUGUGGCUUCUAAAAUGGUUGAUGAAUGUUGUAAAUCAAACACAGAAGGGACCUGUAAUAAUGUUCCAUUUAGUGAACUUUAAACUAUAAGAAUGGAAUUUGUUCCAACUGCACUUGUGAUACUUGUCUGACCAAUGCUUCAAGUAAUGUUGCCAGGUUUAUUUACUGAGCUUAUAAGCCACAAAAACAGGCAUUGGAUUUCAUCUUGCUUCACUACUAGUCAUGGCAGCAGAUCAGCCUAUUGUAUGGGAGCAGCAAAUAACCAAGCUUAUAUGCCAAAGGAUUGGGCCCCUUCUUUGUUUAUCAUAUAUGACAAGCUACAUACAAGGAGUUGAAUGUUUCAACCAGCUAGACAAUGCCAACAAACUCAUGAUCCAUGAAAAGAAAGCCAGCUUUGUUUGGAAUUUGUCCCCAAAUCACAGUUUCCAGGAAGCUCUCUCAGUGGGAAACCUACCUCCAAGGGAGUGUAUCCCUGAUAUUCAUCAGAAGCUCCUCCAAGUUUUAAGGUGACUCCCAAUUGAUUGGGUGGAAUAGGAGAGAGAGAGCGAGAGCGCGGCGGCGAGCGAGAACGUGAUGAAGGGAGAAGGCGAGAAUACGCCGGCGAGGGAGCUGAAGAUAAGGAGGGGCCUUGAAGAAGACGAAGGGGGAACAGGUUCGUAGUGGAGUCCAAGGUGUUCGAGCUUGCGUUAAUAGAGAGAAGAGGAAAACCCCAAAUAUUCAUAGAGGAAAGUAAGGGAGGAGUCUCGUCUUGGGUCAGAGUGGGAGUGGAGAGCUUAGGGUUCCUAAUGGAGGGCUUACACCACUACAUAAUGGACGAGAAAGAAGACAGAUGGGAAAGGGAAUGGAAGGAACAGGGGAAAUCCUACUCUUUGCUACGAAGCCCAAAUAGAGCGGGGUGCUUCCUCCGUCUAGGGGUAACCGACUUGGAACGAAAGCAAUACUGUAUCUACAUCCCAAAAGGUAGAGGAGGAAAAAAGGGAUGGGCUUCAAUGGCGGAAAAUCUACAGCUACUGCGAAGAUCAAUCGACAGAAAGGACAACAUACAAGAAGAAAAGGUCGGUGGAAACUUGGUUGUGAAGAGAACGUUCGCGAAAGUGGUGAAAAGACCGAUCUGCAGAGAUAAAAGCUCAGUUAAGGUGAAGGUAUGGAGGGAGGAAAUCCAUAGAAUCUGGAAAAAUUGGAACAUUGUUUAGUUGGGAGCUGGAACCCUGGGUCAGGCGAUGGAGAAGAUUUGGAGAAAUUGGGGAAAUUUCUGGCGAACUCUUGGGGAUUGAAAGGAAGGUUAGGGUUGGCAAGAUUGGAGAGAAAUAGAAUUUUGUUGGAAUUUGAAUUAUUGGAUGAAGCUCAACGUGCUCUUCUUUCAGGAGAGAGAACGAUGGGAGGGCUUAGGCUGAGAUUUGAGCAUUGGAGUCCAAAGACUGGUUGCAGGGAGGAGGAGGAACAAAGCAAUGAAGUAUGCGUUAGAAUCUUUGAGGUACCAGUCUCGUUGUGGAACCCGACUGUGUUGAGUAGGGUGGGGGAUGAAUGUGGUGGCUUCGUUGCCAUCGAUCCGUAGAUGGCGAAGUUGGAAGAACUCCAAUGGGCUAGGAUUUUGGUUAAGAUGGACGGAGAAGCUAAGCUGAGUAUGUUGGAGAUUGGGGUUGAGGAGGAAGUUUACGCCCUUGUCCUCUAGUGGGAGCUUAGGCCAUCCGUGAAGAAGAUUAGGUUUGACAGUCGAAAAAGUGGGGAGGUUAGGGGUGACAAUUUCUCACGCUCCGGCUCGCGCGUGGAGUUGGAAUCGGUCCUCGAAGUCAGAUGAGGGGACGAGGAUGCAGGAGAGAGGUAUGGGCCGGGAGGUGAUAGCUGAUCGGGCCCAAGAAUCAGCGCCCAUGGGAUCUGUGAGGAGGGCCAGUGGGCUGAGCUCACAAAGAGAAUUUAUGGGCCUAAAGUUAAAGGGAGUGGUGAAUGAAGGUGUUGGGUCAGAGGCUGGGCCAUCCAAGAGAUGGGCUUUUGACGGGAAUGGUUCUAUGCAUGAUGGGGCCAGACCAAUUAAGCCCAUGGCCUAAGAAUUAGUUUUCAAACGGCCCGAGGUGCUGACGUAUUUAGAUAAGGGGUUGGGCUUGCAGGAGAGGAACUUGGGCUGGAAAGGGAUAGCAGACCGAGCCUAGGUGCCAGUGAUUAAGGGCAUAGAGAAGAGAUCAUGUGGGCUGAAUGCAGUGAUGAGCCUAAAACUAAAGGAAGUGGUGGCUAUCUCUGCUGGACUAGAGGCUGGCCAGCCCAAAAGAUGGGCUCAUGAUGGGAGUGGCCCAAUGUCUGAGUUGGAAGGGGCCAGACCAAGUAAGUCCAUGGCCCAAAACAAAGUUAAAAGACCCCAGGAGAAGGAAUGUCUCUUGGAAUGCAGAAUUGCUAGCAAUAGGAGCUUUUCAGAGGGAGAACGCUUAGUUAUUUGGGAAACAGAGGAAAUAAGGAAGAAAAUGGAGAAAGCCAUACUCUCAGCAACAGACAAGGCUCUAGCAGAGGAAGCCAUGAGGUAUGAUUCUGGCCUAAGAAUAGAGGGGAAAAGGGGCUAUGGGUCUUCUCAUCUUAUCCUUUAUUCUUUUGAUCGGGCUCCGGAGAGGGAGUCUUACGAUCACUCUGGGGUGCUAGGGGAAAUAAAUGAAGUUGGACCCGGAGUGGAUGGCAAUGGAUGUUGGGACUUGGUAGAAUUCACUAAGGACAGUAAUUUGGCUAGGGGGGUGGAGUGGGAUUCAGAGAUGACAAAGCCUCAAGAGAUCAGGAGUGAGAAAUAGGACAGAUGGGAGGAAAGUAGCUUGGCGAAGUUUAGUCACUUUUUAGGAGAAAGAGACGAGAAAGAAUUCAUAGCAAAGAAUUGAUGGAGAAGUCAAAAUUUGAAAGGGAAUUGAAGAGGCUAGAGUGCUCAGUUAAUUAUGAGAAGGGGAAUAAACAAAAAGGCCCUUCACAGACAAAUGGGAUCAAAUUGCAAUAGAUUAAUGAAGCUAAAGUUGUUAAGUUGGAAUGUGAGGGGGGCAAAUGACAGGUCCAAAAGGAAAAUUAUCAAGACAUUCAUAAGGAAUAAAAAAGUUGACUUACUGUGUAUUCAGGAGAUAAAAAUUUAGCCAAUGUCGGAGGGGGUGGUGAGAAGUUUAGGCUUGGGAAGAUUCUUAGAUUGGAGGGCCUUGGAUGCGGAUGGGACAGCGGGAGGUCUGUUGAUUUGCUGGGAUAAAAAAUCGCUGGAAAUUGUGGAUUGGGAGGAGGGCCAGUACUCUCUAUCUUAUAGAUUCAAGAAUGUGGAAGAUGAAAUUGUCUAGGUGUUUACGGGAGUCUAUGGUCCUUUCACUAAAGAGAAAAGAGAAUGUUUGUGGGAAGAGAUUGGAGUUGUAAGAGGAAUUUGGGACGAGCCUUGGUGCUUAGGGGGCGACUUUAAUAUUACCCUAUUUCAAAGAGAAAAAAGCAGACAAGGGAGAAUAACUCCGACCAUGAUGAGGUUUGCUUAUAUUAUUGAUGACCUAAGGUUGGUAGAUUUUCCGUUGCAAGGGGGAGUGUUUACUUGGAGCGGGGGCCUUAACAACCAGUCUUGGGCAAGACUGGACAGGUUUUUGGUGUCUCCUAGUUGGUUAGAUCAGUUCAAUGGGGUGCUUCAAAGAAGACUGCCUUGUCCUGUUUCUAACCACUUCCCCAUUCUUCUAGAAGGGGGCGAGCUAAGGAGAGGUCCUUCUCCUUUCAAGUUCGAAAACCUGUGGCUAAAGGUUGAGGGUUUUUUAGACCUUAUCUGAAAUUGGUGGAGGAGGAUUGAGGUAAGAGGCACUACUAGCUAUAGAUUGGCAGCAAAGAUGAAAUAGAUCAAACAAAAACUAAAGGUUUGGAAUAGAGAGGUCUUUGGAAAUCUGGAAGGCAAUAAAAGUUCAGCUUUGCAGCAAAUGGAUUUUUGGGACCGUGUGGAAAGUGAAAGAAGCUUGUCUUUGGAGGAGACAAAAUUAAAAAAGGAAGCAAAUGAAAGCUAUAAAAAAUGGGUCCUUUUGGAAAAAAGUCAUUGGAGACAACUCUCAAGGGAGAUAUGGCUUAAGGAAUGGGAUAAAAAUACUGGAUUUUUUCAUCAGGUGGCAAAUGCCCACUGUAACAAUAACUUCUUGGACAUAAUUAAAGUUGAUGGGGUUUGGCUCUUAGAGGAGCAGGAAGUAAAGGAAGGGAUUGCUAAUGCUUAUCAGCAGAUGCUCUUUGAAGACUCGGGGUGGAAGACGGAUAUUGUGAGGAUUCAAUUAGAUCAUAUCAGCCAGCAAGAAGCAGAGAAUCUUGAGAUUCUGUUUUCUGAAAAUGAGAUCCAUUCAACCUUGAUAGAGAUGAAUGGGGAUAAAGCCCUUGGGCUGGAUGGUUUUACUAUGGCGUUUUGGCAAAGUAGUUGGGAUUUUGUGAAAGGGGAGAUCUUGGAGAUAUUUAAGAAGUUUCAUGAGCAAAGCUCCUUUCUCAAAAAUCUCAAUAAUACUUUCCUGGUUCUAAUUCUUAAGAAAGGGGGGGGGGGGGGGGGGGGUUGAUCUUGGGGAUUUUAGACCCAUUAGUCUCUUUGGGGGGAGGGGCUAUACAAAUUGCUGGCUAAAGUGUUAGCUAAUAGACCCAAGAGAGUGUUAAGCAAAGUGGUAGCCCCAACCCAGAAUGCAUUUAUGAUGGGAAGACAAAUCCUUGAUGCUUCUUUAAUUACGAAUAAAGUGAUAGACUCGUGGCAGAAAAGAAAAGAGAAAUGGCUCAUAUGUAAAUUGGAUAUUGAGAAAGCGUACGAUAGCAUCAACUGGCAGUUUUUGUUGAAGACUUUACACAAAAUGGGAUUUGGCUCAAAGUGGUUGGGUUGGAUGUGGAGUUGUUUAUCUUCAGCUAAGUUUUCAGUUCUAGUUAAUGGGGUUCCAGCUGGAUUUUUCCCGAGUUCUAAAGGGCUUCGUCAAGGGGAUUACUUAUCUCCUUACCUCUUUGUUCUAGGAAUGGAAGUUCUAGAUGCCCUAAUUAGGAGGGCGGUUGCUGGCGGCUACCUCUCAGGAUGCAGUAUUCAGGGUGAUAGAAGACACAAUCUAAAAAUCUCUCAUCUUUUCUUUGCUGAUGAUACAAUUGUGUUCUAUGAGGCUAAUAAAGAGCAUCUAACACAUUUAAGCUGGAUUCUUUUGUGGUUUGAAGCAACUUCAAUGCCUAAGGAUUAAUUUGGACAAAAGUGAAAUUAUCCCAGUUGGUGUGGUGGAGGAGAUUGAGGAGAUGGCAGUGGAAUUAGGGUGUAGGGUGGGCUCGUUGCCUUCUCAAUACUUGGGCUUGCCAUUAGGGGCUCCUAACAAAGCUCAUUUUGUUUGGGAUGGGGUGGAAGAGAAAGUGAGGAGGAGACUAGCACGGUGGAAACGACAAUAUAUCUCCAAAGGUGGGAGAAUCACUCUCAUAAAGAACACCUUGGCUAGCAUGCCAAUCUAUCAUAUGUCUCUUUUCCAGAUGCCUAAGUCAGUUGCUAGAAGAUUAGAAAAAGUUCAAAGAAAUUUCCUUUGGGGAAGGGGAAGCGUGGAAAGGAAAGCUCAUCUAAUUAAGUGGGAGAUGAUUUGUGCAGACAAGAACAAGGGAGGGCUAGGCUUAAGGAAGCUAGUACUCUUGAACAAAGCUUUGCUUGGUAAAUGGAUUUGGAGAUUCGCUUGUGAUAAAGAUAAUCUUUGGAAGCAAGUGAUAACGAUGAAAUAUGGGCAAGAAGGUCAUGGUUGGAGAGCAAAGAGGGCUUAUGGGGCGUUUGGAGUAGGGGUGUGGAAGGAAAUUUUGAAGGAAACUGAAUGGUGCUGGGACAACAUGGGGUUCUUAGCUGGGAAGGGAAGCCGAAAUUAAUUUUUGGACUGAUGUUUGGUGUAAUGGUACAAGGCUGUCCCAAAAUUUCCCUCAUCUAUUCGCUAUGGCUUCCCAUAGGAAUGCUACGGUAGAGGAAAUGUGGGAUCAGAAUUUCGGUCAAGGGGUUGGAAUCUAAGAUUUUUGAGGGAUUUUAAUGAUUGGGAGUUGGAUAUGAUAGGGGAUUUGCUCCAUGCUCUGAGGAGUUACAAGUCUUCUAUGGAGGAAGAUUCAGUUUGCUGGAAGGGAGGAAAUAAUGGAAAGUUUAGGGUCAAAGAAGCGUAUAGAUUGUGGGUCAGUACCAAUGAUAUUGUUUUUCCGUCAAGAUGCAUUUGGGUAGAUUCAGUUCCAACCAAGGUUGCAUUCUAUGCUUGGGAGGCUACAUGGGGGAGGGUGCUCACUUUUGAUAGGCUCCAGAAAAGAGGAUGACAGCUUUCUAAUUGUUGCUUUCUGUGUGGAUGUGAAGAAGAAACUGUAAAUCAUAUACUUAUUCACUGUAUAGUGGUCAGAGUACUGUGGAAUAUUGUCCUUGGGUUAUCAAGUGUGUAGUGGGUCUUUCUAGAAACUGUAAAGGAGGUCUUAACUGGCUGGAGAGACCCUUUUGUGGGAAAGAAAAGGAAAAAGAUAUGGAAGUCCAUACCGUUGUGUAUUUUUUGGACGGUUUGGAAGGAGAGGAAUAGACUAGCUUUUAGAGGGGGAGUGUUAGAUAUUCAAAAGCUUAAGAAUUCUUUUGUUUGUAGUUUGUGGAGUUGGGCUAGAUUAUAUAUUGGAGAGGAGCAUCUAUCCCUUAUAGGGUUCUUGGAAUGGUUAGCGUCCAAUUAAGGGGUGGUGAGACUUUGUUGGUCCUCUUUUUGUUUUGAGAGGUGGUAGUUGCUUUGUAUACCCCCUGUAUACUUUGUAACUUUCCGUCUCUAUUUUAAUACAAUUUGCUUUACUUAUCAAAAAAAAAAGUUUUAAGGCGACUCCCUAUCCCUUGAGCAGUUUCUAUAUAUAACUUACGUUAGUUGUGGAGAAUUUUACCUGUACCAUCUAAGAAUAGGUUUUGCCUUGUUUCUGUAACUUACAAAUAAAACCCCUUCACCCAAUUACUCCUCAUGUUUUCUUUUGUUGCUUCAUUCUGAUUCUGAUAUGGUCUCUUUAGUAACUUUCAUCUAAACCGAAAUGAAAAGAGAAUAUAUUAAACUCAAGUCAAUUCAAUGUUGCACCUCAUUCCCCACAUGCAACUGUGCUUUACAGCAGUUGUGCUGAGGCAAUGCUUGUAUUCCAAGCAUAUAUUCCUAGCCCACUCAAGGUCUUGGAUUAAACAGAAAGGGUCUGGUUGGAGUUGGUAGAUAUACAGUUAGAAUCUUCUUGUUCUACUUAUAUAUGUAAACAAAAAUAUGUCAUAUACCAAGCCAUGACAAUAUAUUAAACAAAAAAGAGAGAAUGAAGCAGUGGGUGGGAGUUGGUUUGCAAGUGACUUUUUAGGUUGUGUUUUUGGGGUUGCUGUUGGAUGGCCUAGGGUCUAAGUGUUCGGCUUUCCAAAGAGUGGAUGAGGUAGUAGUGAGUUCCUUUGGUUUGUUACUCACCCAAGUGUUUGUAAAGUCUGGAGUUUUUCUGGGUUGUAGGGUGAAGUCUUUUGUUUUGGGUAUUGGUUUGUUGUUUCUCUUUCCUUUUACUUGUAUUUGCCUGCCACUUGUACACUACGUGUGUACUUUCUGCGCCUUUUUCAAGCACUUUUAAUAUAUUUGCUUUAUUUACCUAUCAAAUAUAUAUAUAUUAAACAAAAUAUGAUGUUCUAAGAUAUGAAACCAAUUAUAAAUGGUAUGAAUGGCAUCCCAAGAUCAACAAAUACACUAUGCUCCUUUCUUUUUUUGCUUGUGUUUAUUUUGGUUUUCAUUAAUUUAUGUAGAAUUCUUUGCACGGUUGGGAGAUUGUUCAGAAUGUUUAGAAGAAAUAAUAUGUAAAUCCAAUAAUUAAAAUUAUCUCAACCUAAUCCAAUAUAAAAGAUCACAAAAUCCAGUAAAAAAAUGUUAUAUACCAAGCCAUGACAAUAUAUAUUAAACUAAAUAUAAUCUUCUAAGAUACGAAACCAAUUAUUAAUGGUAUAAAUGGCAUCCCAAGAUCAACAAAUACAUUACUCUCCUUUCUUUUUUGCUUGUGUUUAUUUUUUAUUUGAUGCAGCUUAAGUCUACAUGGUGCAGGGAGCAAUACUAUGAAUUGAUUUAUUCAUCUAUUUGGUUUUCAUUAGUUUUUGUAGAAUGCUUUGCAUGGUUGGGAGAUUGUUCAGAUGUUUAGGAGAAACAAUAUGUAAAUAGAAUAAUUAGAAUUAUUUCAACCUAAUCCAAUGUAAGGAUCAUAAAACCUAGACUGACCCCACCUAUUAAAUAAUGCUCUCAUGGCUGCCCCUUAGUUAUACUUUUUUUUUUUUUGAUAGAUAAGAAGAUAAAUAUAUUAGAAAGGGCUGCCAAAAGAGCAACCCAUAGUUGUUAUAUUACAUAUUAAACAAUGCUCUUAUGGCUGUCCCAUAGUUGUUAUACUACACAUUAAAUAAUGCUCUUAUACCUGUCCCAUAGUUAUACUACUAGCAGGUCAAAUGUAGGUUUAGCAACUAGCAUAUUUCAUAUUAGCAGAAAUAAAUUGCAGAUUCUAAGAGAUAUAUGAUAUAAUUUUGUUGAGUAAAGGAAAAGAAAACAAUGAAAAAGGGUAUACUGUUAGCACAUUUACCAUUUCAUAAUGCUAAUGCUGAUCAUCAAGAGGUAGAAAAAUAGAACUUCAUGUGAAACUGGUCAUGCUUAGCUUCUGGUCCACCAUUUUAUUGUUAGUUGUCACCUUCCAUAACAAGUUAAGACUGUUAGUUGAUACAGUGAAAACUCAACUUUGGUCACAUUGACCAGAUUCAAAUUCUACGAGCUUGUGCUUGUGAUAAGUAUCAAAUUAAAGAUUAGAACACGUCACUUGAUGGUGCCAGUUUUUUUUUUGUUUUUUCACGCAUGUUCAUAUGCACCAGGUCAAGUUCACACUAGAUUAUCUAAUACUCAUUUUCUAUUUUGAUGCUUGUUUUACAAGUUCUUCUAAUGACUAGAUGGUAGUUUUGAGAGGAAGAAAAUCUUGCCUUUGAUAGAAGUAGAACCAAUGUUUUAUGCAUUUAAACUCCUGGUAUAUUGGAAAUUAUUAGGUGCUGGGUUAGGAUCCUCAUUAGAGAUAAGAAGACUUUAUUUCCACUUGUAUUGAACACUAUUAUAUUCAAAAUCCAGACCUCAAUGCUUACGUGGAUUUCGGAUUUCAUAAUGAAGUUAUUGAAUUCAGGUUAGGCAGGAUUAGGUUUGUUUCAACCUUAUACAUGAUGGAAACCAAUGAACUUAAUUGAAUAGAUGGAGUUGGACUUAAGUUGGCUUGACAUCCCAUGUGGAAUCCUUAGCUUUAAGUUGGUCAAGAAAAGCCAUCACCCGUAGGCCUUGUCCCAAUGGGCAAUUUCUAUUGACUUUCUUACUUACCCAGCAGGAAGGUCAUGUUUGAAUUGUUGGAAUAGUGGGCCAUGUCCCAAUUGGCAAUUUCUAUUGACUUUUCUUACUUACCUAGCAGGAAGGUCAUGUUUGAAUUGUUGGAAUAGAGGAUGGGGAGGUGAAAAUCAGCUCUAUCUAUUAUAUCUUUUUGAGCUUUAAUCCUAACACCCCUCACAUACAACAUCUCUAGAUUGAAUAGAUUGAAUUAAAUUUGAGUUGGCUUGGCAGCCCAUGUAUGCCCUUCAGCCCUGAAUUGGUCAAGAAAAGCCAUCACACAUUGUCUCACUCUGCAAUUGGGAGAUGAUAUCUUUGCCCAUAUGUUCUAAUAGGAAUAAAAUAUUGUGAUUGUUGUGAUUUCUUACAUGAUUAUCUACCAUUCUGAAUUGAUCAUUAGGAAGACCACUUCCCACAACCAACUUCAUCUUUCUGGUAUGGGUCAAUUUGAAGGUCUUAAGGAAUGGGUCCAAGCCUGGAAAUUGGAAACCCUAGCACAAGUUGCAGGAUAAGGAUGAGAAAGACAAGUCAAUAUGAAAAUGGAAACUGGGUUUUUCCUGAAUCGCUUAACAAAAAAGAAAGUGACCACCAAUUUCAUGUUGAAUUGGAGCAUUUCUUAAAGUGGGGUUCAUUCAGAAGAUGCAAAGUCUAUGGGAAUAAUGACGUAGUGUGGUGUUCAAGAAAGUGACAGCAUAUGUGUUUCUUGAACCCUAAGUUUACACGGAAAGGUUUAUUUUGGUGUGGAAUUGGGCUUUUUUUUUUGGCGGAAAACUGGGUUUUCAUUUCUAAAAUUUCCAUAAUUCUAAGUUUACUUUUAGAUUUUGAAAAUUUUUAAGUCUUAAAAAGAGUUUAAAGAAAAUAAGAUAAUUUUCUACUUUUUAUUUAAGAGUUUUUUUAUUUUAUGUAAAAAUUUAUUUUUAAAAAUAAGAAAAAAAAAUCUAGAUAGUUAAUGUUUUUUUUUUAAAAAAAUUGUUCGGUAAUUUUAAGUAUUUACGUCUUAACUUUUAAAAGAAUGAAUUAUUUUUAUAAGAAAAGAAUAAGAUCAUUUUUGUUAAAAUAUAGUAAAAAAAAUGACGGAGGAAUAGUUAGAUUUUCAAAAUUGGGUUUUCAAUUACCCUUUUAAUCAAAUAAUCCAUAUAUAUAUAUAUAUAUAUAUAUAUAUAUAUGAUGAAAAUUAAUUAACUAAAAUGGUCGAAUUAAAACGUUCAACAUUUGCUAAUUUGGUGGAAAUAUUAAUAAAAAAUAGACCAUUGAUUUGUUUAUCGAAGCAAGAAAAAAAAAACACUUCAUACAUUCGAAUGAGAAAGGAAAUUACCUAAAAUGUUCGAAUUGAAAAGCUACACCAUUUGCUAAUUCGGUGAAAAUAUUUGCUAAAUCGGUGAAAAUAUUAAUGAAAAAUAGACAAUUGAUUCAUUUUAUCAAACCAAAAAAAAAUAAAAAACGCGUCAUUUCAUACAUUUUCAUGAGAAAGAAAAAUUAGUCAACUAAAAUGGUCGAAUUAGAAAGCUACACCAUUUGCUAAUUGAUUCGGUAUACCAAAGUAAGAAAAAAAAACACUUCAUGCAUUUUCUUGAUUUUCUCAUGUACCCUAUGAUAAUAUGGAAAAUUAUUUCAUAAACUCAUUUUAUAUAUAUCACAUUUUUUUUUUCACUUAUUAAACAAAAAAAAUACAAAUGUUGGUUUUGACUUAAAUUUUGGCUUGGAAGUUAAUUUGGUUACAUGAAAAAUAUUAAAAUAUUUUUGAAAAAGGAAAAUUUUCAUAUUGAACAUGAAUUAAUUGAAUGAAUCAUGGAUUCAUGAUAUUAUUAAGUUAUUAACUAAAAAUUGCAAUAAUUGAGAAAUUCUUGAAUAGUUUGUUUGAAGUCACAUUCUAGACUUCUAGGGUUUAAGAUUUUCUUGGAAUUUGGGUGGUUUCUUUACCCUCAAGCUAUGCCAUGACCAUAUUUGCCUGAUUCAAUAAAUUGAAAACAAAUGAAGGAAAUAAAAAGAUUAUAAAAAGCCCAUUAAAAUUGGACCAAUACUAAAUUAAUUGCAUACCUUGUUUGAAUAUUGUGCUACUAUACUAUUUUUUAUGAACAAGAGGAAAUGACAAUUAUGAACAUGGAUGUAAAUAAAAUAAAAUACAUAUUUUAAUAUAAUUUUAUUAUUUUUAAUCAUAUUUUUUAUUUAAAUAAUUGUUUUACUAUUUUUCUCGCUACAUUACUAAAUUGGUAUCCAAUAAAAGGAGAAUCGAUCACGACAUGCGUUGCUCUCGUUGUUUCGUACCUAAUUUGUAUCUUCAAUCUUAUUUAUUUAUACUUAUUUCAUUAAAUAUACCUUGAUCUUAUAUAUUUAUACUCUUAUCCAAUCACUUAAAUUUUAUUAUGUAUCUUCAACGAUUGAAAUUAUGCAUUCAGAAGGUACUAGUUUGGUACUUACGAAUUUUCAUUAUUUUUAAAACAAAAGGUAAAUUGAUGUUUGGUAAGAUGAAACAAACCAAAAAAGAAAAAGGAAAAAAAAAGAGAAAAGAAUAUGCCAAAGACAAGAGACAAAAGCAUGAUUCCAAUUCCAAAAGGGUUGAAAGAUUUAAUCAUGUUUCUUAUCCACAUAACUAUUUUACUAUUUUUCUCGCUACAUUGUCGAAUUGGUAUCUAGUGAAAAGAGAAUCGAUCACAACAUGUAUUGGUCUCGUUGCUUUGUACUUAAUUUGUGUUUCAUUAUUUUAUACCUUAGUUUGUUUUUUUUUUUUUUUUGCACUUCAAUCUCAUUUAUUUAUAUUUAUUUCAUUAAAUGUACAUUGAUCUCAUAUACUUAUACUCUCGUUUAAUAACCUAAAUUUUAUAAUAUCUUCAAUGAUGAACUUUCAACGAUUGAAAUUACGUGUUCAGAAGGUACUUAAUCGGUACUUGUGAAUUUUCAUUAUUUGUAAAGCAAAAGGUAAAUUCAUAUUUGGUAUGCAUGAUGUGCAAACAUGUUUUAUAAAGCCAAAAAAAAAAAAAAAAAUGCCAAACAUGGGACUAAAGCAUAAUUCCCAUUCCAAAAGGGCUAGAGAUAUAAAGUUUGGAACUUGUUAUAUCAAGGCUGUACUAUGUAAGACCCACCAAAGCAGCCAUGUGAUGAAUAAGUGACAACUCCUUCAUUUAUGAUAAAAUAAAGACACCAAUUCAAAUAAAUAAAUAAAUAAAAUAUAAUAUACAUAAGAGGUAAUGCAUUAGAAGAAUGGAGGGAUCAAGAAAGGCAGCCCAACCAGCCAAUGGAAAAUAGUCAAAAUACCUAGUCUAUUCCUCCAUUUUUGGCCUUCAAUAAACCCUAGAUUCCCUCCCUCCACCCCACACCUUUUUCUUUUUAUUUUUUAAUUUAUUUAUUUAUGAUUAUUUUUAGUCUAAUUAUCUAUAAAAUAACAAUAACCCACAUUAGAAAUCAUUUUUUUUUUCUUCUUCUGUAUCUUAAUUAGCUGAAAUUUAGAAAUUACCCAUAUGUUUUUUUUAUUAAAAAAAAAAAAACCUUUCUUGACUGAAGUUUCUAAAAAUAACAACCAUGUAUAUAUUAUUAAUUCUAUUUUUUAAAGAAGGAAAAGGAAAGUUUCUGAAUAGAAAAAGAGAAGCUUCUCAGAUAUUUCAUGUUUGAUUUUAGGCAUUUUAUACGCGUAUGUUUAUGUCUAUAAAUACAUGCACCACCUGAGCUUUUCUUCAUAUAUUCUUCUCCUGCAUCCCUCUUUCUCUCAUAUUCUUGGCUUUCUUUUGCUUUGCUGUUGUUAUUGUUGUUGUUGUUGUUGUUGUUGUUGAAGAAGAAGAAGAAGAAGAAGAGAUGAUUCAUUCAAUUGUUGGUGCCAUUACUGGCGAAAAUGAUAAGAAGAAGAUCAAGGGAACUGUUGUGUUGAUGAAGAAGAAUGUGUUGGAUUUUAAUGACUUCAAUGCAUCGGUUCUGGACCGGGUUCAUGAGCUGUUGGGACAGGGAGUCUCUCUGCAGCUCGUCAGUGCUGUUCAUGGUGAUCCUGGUGAGUUUUUUAUUUUAUUUUAUUUUUUUAUUUUUUUUCAUGUUUUUGAUGAUGGGGUUAUUGAAGUUGGAGGAGAGGAGAAUGAUGCCGUUUUGUGAGGGGUGAGAUGGGUUUUGAGUUUUGAUGAUGGGAGUUGGAAGAAGAUGUGUUUUUUGGAAGAGGUCAAGAGGGGUUAUUCUCAGAAAUUGAGUCAAUGAGUUUCUUGACAUCUUCCAUUCAACUGGGCACUUUUCUAACUGCUUUUGUUUUUUGUGUUUUGUUUUUAAUGCUUUUGUUUUCUACUUCUUUCUCUUGUUUAUAUUUCUUUUCAUCAACCACUAUACAUGCCCACCUAACUCAAUAUGAAAUUCCCAUGCAGCUGCCCUUUUUUUUAAGCCACUAGAUCUUGGGUGAUUUUUUAGUCUUAGAUCUUGGGUUAGAUUUCCCCAGAUUUCACAAAAGUUGAAACUGAAAUUCAUAAAAUUUUUGAGGAUCACUCCUGUUGGAGUUAAAGAGAAAGAAUUGCCAUAAACCAAGGAGAUGAAUUGUUGUGAAAUAUUUCUCAAAACUUCAUCAUCAAAUACCUGCCAAAACAGCCACAGUUUCUGAAAUUUCAUGCAGCAAAGCCACUGCUGCUUGUAGCAAGUCCAAGCUCAAACAUAAAAGCCUUUUCAACCCAGUGAUUUUUGAGAAUAACAUGUAAAAAUGCAGUGACCAUCUGUUAGUGAUGAUAUUGAACUUGUGUGCCUUUUGUAGCAAAUGGGUUACAGGGGAAACUUGGGAAACCAGCAUACUUGGAAGACUGGAUUACCACAAUUACUUCUUUAACCGCUGGCGAGUCUGCAUUCAAGGUCACGUUCGACUGGGAUGAGGAGAUUGGAGAGCCAGGGGCAUUCAUAAUUAGAAACAAUCACCACAGUGAGUUUUACCUCAGGACUCUCACUCUUGAAGAUGUUCCUGGACGUGGCAGAAUUCACUUUGUUUGUAAUUCCUGGGUCUACCCUGCUAAGCACUACAAAACUGACCGUGUUUUCUUCACUAAUCAGGUAAGACUAAUUUGCUUGAUACUAGGAGAGUCUGCUGUGGCAUUGUGGCCCAUUGAGCUUAGGCAAGGAGAAUUGUCUGCUAAAGGAAUGUGUUUAUUUUAUCUGCUGCAGACAUAUCUUCCAAGUGAAACACCAGGGCCACUGCGCAAGUACAGAAAAGGGGAACUGGUGAAUCUGAGGGGAGAUGGAACCGGAGAGCUUAAGGAAUGGGAUCGAGUGUAUGACUAUGCUUACUAUAAUGAUUUGGGGAAGCCAGACAGGGAUCUCAAAUAUGCCCGCCCUGUGCUGGGAGGAUCUGCAGAGUAUCCUUAUCCCAGGAGGGGAAGAACUGGUAGACCACCAUCUGAAAAAGGUAGAUAUUUGAUACACAAAUUCAUAUUGUUUUCUCAUGCUUUUAUCAUAAAAGGAUGAAUAUGAUUGAUUUCUGCUCUUCUUUUAAUUAACAGAUCCCAAAACUGAGAGCAGAUUGCCACUUGUGAUGAGCUUAAACAUAUAUGUUCCAAGAGAUGAACGAUUUGGUCACCUGAAGAUGUCAGACUUCCUGGCUUAUGCCCUGAAAUCCAUAGUUCAAUUCCUUCUCCCUGAGUUUGAGGCUCUAUGUGACAUCACCCCCAAUGAGUUUGACAGCUUCCAAGAUGUAUUAGACCUCUACGAAGGAGGAAUCAAGGUCCCAGAGGGCCCUUUACUGGACAAAAUUAAGGACAACAUCCCUCUUGAGAUGCUCAAGGAACUUGUUCGUACCGAUGGGGAACAUCUCUUCAAGUUCCCAAUGCCCCAAGUCAUCAAAGGUACUGCAUACAUCUAACAUCUUGUAAUCUUUGAAGCCAGAUUUAUAUAUUUAUUUUUCAUAAAAUUGAUGACGUUUUUAUCAUGCUGGAGCAGAGGAUAAGUCUGCAUGGAGGACUGACGAAGAAUUUGCUAGAGAAAUGCUGGCUGGACUCAACCCAGUUGUCAUCCGUCUACUCCAAGUAAACUACAGCUUCCUUUCAAAUAAUUUUUAAUGCCCUGUUUGUUUUCUGAGAAAAUGGAACUUGGAAAGGCUUCCAGACUUUGUUUUCUUUCCCUCCAUCUACUGUUCUAGCUCUUUUCUGAUAAUUAUUGGCUCUUUCUACUUUGUUUGAAGGAGUUUCCUCCAAAAAGCAAGCUGGAUCCUGAAGUUUAUGGCAACCAAAACAGUUCAAUAACCAAAGAACACAUAGAGAAUCACCUGGAUGACCUUACUAUAAACGAGGUAACGCUCUUAGGUUCCGUUCUUUCAAACUAAAUUUUUCAAUGUCGACAUGUUAAUUUUUUGCAUUGGAACACAAGCCAUAGUAACUGAAAAAUGGUGCUUUUUACUAGGCAAUGGAGAAGAAGAGGCUAUUCAUAUUAGAUCACCAUGAUGUUUUCAUGCCAUACCUGAGGAGGAUAAACACAACUUCCACGAAAACUUACGCCUCAAGGACUCUCCUCUUCCUGAAAGACGACGGAACUUUGAAGCCACUGGCGAUUGAAUUGAGCCUACCACAUCCUAAUGGGGAUAAAUUCGGAGCUGUCAACAAAGUAUACACACCAGCUGAAGAUGGCGUUGAAGGUUCCAUUUGGCAGCUGGCUAAAGCUUAUGCUGCUGUGAAUGACUCUGGCUAUCAUCAGCUCCUCAGCCACUGGUACGUAAUCUCCCAAAGGAAAGUGCGUACAGUUGGGGCGUAAAUCUGAAGCGGGUUAUGAAUAUCUUUGAUGUUGGUUGCAGGUUGAAUACACAUGCUGCAAUUGAGCCAUUUGUGAUUGCAACCAACAGGCAGCUCAGUGUGCUUCACCCAAUUCACAAGCUUUUGCAUCCUCACUUCCGUGAUACGAUGAAUAUAAAUGCAUUAGCUCGACAAAUCCUCAUCAAUGCUGGUGGAGUGGUGGAGAGCACAGUUUUUCCAUCAAAGUAUGCCAUGGAAAUGUCAUCUGUUGUUUACAAAGACUGGGUUCUCACUGAGCAAGCACUUCCUGCUGAUCUCAUCAAGAGGUAUAUAAAUACUGUUAGUGAUUGUUUUCUUUCCUGCUGUGCAAUGAAUCUAGUGAAAAUUGUGAUUUUCAUCUAACUGAUAUGCUCCAACUUGGGCACUCUUUCAGAGGAAUGGCGGUUGAGGAUUCAGAGGCCCCUCAUGGACUCCGCCUACUGAUAGAUGACUACCCCUAUGCUGUUGAUGGACUUGAGAUCUGGUCAGCUAUUGAGACAUGGGUGAAAGAGUAUUGCUCAUUCUACUACAAGACAGAUGAGAUGGUCCAGAAAGACUCUGAGCUUCAGUCCUGGUGGAAGGAAGUCAGGGAAGAGGGUCAUGGCGACAAGAAGGACGAGCCUUGGUGGCCUAAAAUGCGUACUGUCAAAGAGCUGAUAGAAACAUGCACCAUUAUCAUCUGGGUGGCUUCUGCUCUCCAUGCUGCAGUGAAUUUCGGGCAGUACCCUUAUGCAGGCUACCUCCCAAACCGCCCAACGAUAAGCCGCAGAUUCAUCCCUGAAGAAGGCACUCCUGAGUAUGAAGAACUCAAGUCCAAUCCUGAUAAGGCUUUCCUGAAAACAAUCACUGCCCAGCUGCAGACCCUUCUUGGCAUCUCCCUUAUUGAGGUCCUUUCCAGGCAUUCUUCCGAUGAGGUUUAUCUUGGACAGAGAGACACUCCUGAAUGGACCCUGGACACAACACCAUUGAAAGCUUUUGAGAAAUUCGGAAGGAAGCUGGCAGACAUUGAAGAAAUGAUCAUAGAUAGAAAUGGAAAUGAGAGAUUCAAGAACAGAGUUGGGCCUGUGAAGAUACCAUACACACUGCUCUACCCCACAAGCGAAGGUGGGCUUACUGGCAAAGGGAUUCCCAACAGUGUCUCCAUCUAAAUUUUCCUGGAAAAUCAUGAGCACACUGCUGAUCAAGAUGGCUUAAAUGCACAUUGCUAAUAUAGUAUACUGUAAUUUAUAAUACCUAUUUUUCGACUUUGUAGGAUUCAUAUUGAUGCAUAUAUUUAUAAUAAGGAAUUAUUUAUUGCUAGAAAAUUGGGAGCUUUUCACUUUUUUUAUGAUCUGUGCCACACUUAAUGUUAAAAGAUGAAGGUGAAGUAGCAAAACAGUUGAUCUGAAUGCGCAGCCAUUGAUAUCAGGAAUCAAAGUCAGAUGGUGCAAAUGCUCUCAAAACAUCCACCCUCCCACAAAAUUAUCUAUAAUUUACAUGUUAACAAGAACUCAAGAGUGAGUAAGAAACUAUGUUGAGAAAUACUUUCUGAAACCACUGAGGAAAGUGUCCAUUUGAAGAAGUGUGAGACUCUUACCUAAGAAGUGUCUGUAGAUUUGAAUAGUAACUGCCAAUAUCUCUAUCAAAUCUUUAUUAUUACAUGUAUUAGAUUUUGAUAUGAUGCUUGGAUAGUAUGCCUAUAAACAAAUGCAUCCCCGAGCUUCUUCUUUGUAUAUUCUUCUGCUCUCACAUUCUUGGCUUUCUUCUGCUUAGCUUUGUUGUUGUUGUUGAAGAAGAAGAGAUGUUUGUUCAAUUGUUAGUGCCAUUACUGGUAAAAAUGAUAAGAAGAAGACAAGGGAGCAGUUGUGCUGAUGAGAAGAAUGUGUUGGAUUUAAUGACUUCAAUACAUCGGCUCUGGACCGGGUUCAUGAGCUCUUAGGACAGGGAGUCUCUCUGCAGCUAGAAUUUUGACUCGUGUAGACAGACAUAGAAUCAAACUGAAUUUAUUGAUCAUUACAUAAUUGGAUUAAGAGCUAUAUAUUCUUCUUGUUGAUCAACAGUUAUCUUCAAGGGGUAGAAAAACAUAACUUCAUGUGUGACUGGUCAUGUUUAGCUUCUGGUCCACCAUUUCAUUGUUAGUUGUCACCUUCCAAAACUAAGUGAAGACUGGCAGUUGAUACAGUGAAAACUUCACAUGCUCGCACUUCACUCUUCACACUAGCUUAUCUACUACUCAUUUUCUACUUUGAUAUCAUCUUGGUUUUCAAGUCUUCUAAUGACUAGAUUGCAAUUUCAAGAGGAAGAAAAUCUUGCCUUUGAUGAAGCCUGUUUUCAGCCUUUUAAGUAUUAAGUUGUUUGUUUUUGUAAUAUUUUGUUUAUAUUAAAUAUUAAAAAAAUAAAGAAAAAGCAAAAUAUUUGAUUUUUUUUUUCUAUUUAGCCAAAAACUAAUAAUAAGUCAUGAAAAAAAUGGAAAAACAAACAAUGUAAAGUUUGAAAGCAAAUUACUUUCAGCAAAAGAUUAAAAAAACAAAUACCCUCGAAGUUCGACUUAAGUUGGCUUAACAUCGAUCUCAUGUAGACCGGGAUCCUUAGCUGGCCCAUGGCCCAUAUCCCAUGUCCUAAUUGGCAAUUUUUAUUGACUUUCUUACAUUCCUUGCACUAAGGUCAUGUUUGAAACGUUGGAAUAAAGAAUGGGAAGGGAAAAUCGAUUCUAUCUAUUAUAUUUUUCAUUCAUUCAUGUGUUCGGAUUGUUCUUAAGAACGAAAAUAAUAAAAAAAUUCACUAUUAUGGAAAUCAAAUGCUACUCUCAUUAGGAUUUUUAUUCCUCUUUUCUAAAUGCCAAACGUGUCUAAAUUGAAUAGAUUGAGUUAAAUUUGAGUUGGCAUGGCAGCACAUGUAUGUCCUUUAGGCUGAGUAGGUCAAGAAAAGCCAUCUCACAUUGUCUCACCAAGCAAUUGUGAGAUGAUAUCCUUACCCAUAUGUUCUAAUAGGAAUAAAAUAUUAUGAUCAUUGUGAUUUAUUACAUGACUAUCUACCAUUCUGAAUUGAUUGUUAGGAAGAGCACUUCCAACAACCAACUUCAUCACUUUGGUAUGGUCAAUUUGAAGGUCUUAUGGUUUGGAAAUUGGAAAUCCUAUAUAAAAAUUUUAUUUUUAAAAAUAAAAAAUAAAAAAUAAAUCAAAAUAGUUAUUUUAAAAAUAAAAAUCAACAUGAAGGUGGAAUAGUUCUCUUUCCUUAUAAUAGGUGGAAGGCAAGUAACACCCAAAAAUAAAUAUACAAGGAAAAUUAGUUACAUUUGAAAGCUACAUCAUUAAGUAAUUUGGUAGAAAUAUUAAUGAAAAGUAGGCAAUUCAUUCAUGUUUCAUCAAAUCAAGUGGAAAGCUGUAUGCAUUGUUGACUAAUUUGCUGGAAAUAUUAAUGAUGAUUGAUGUUGUUUACAUAGACAUGUGGUUGUAUUGAUGGUUUGUGUGAGACCAAACAUUUUUUGGGUAUUGCAUGAAUUUGUGUUGCACCUGCAUAGUUAUAUAAAUAGCAAUUCGGUAAAUGUUUGAACAAAAUAUGAUCGAAAAACCGUCACAACAAAACUUCUACAAUACAUCUCAUUGCGGCUUUUAUUAUAUAGUAGAGAUAUGAGUAAGAAUAAAUGACGAUUUCUAUGGCCUAUAAUAUUGAGAAAGCAAAUAAGAAAAUUAUGUGGUUCGUAAUUAUUAGGCUAUUAAAUAUUUUGUGCCCCUGCGACCAAAAUUAUAACCAUGGAUGUAAAUAAAAUAAAAUAAAAACAUAUUUUAAUAUAAUUUUAUUGUUUUUAAUCAUGUACAUGACUAUUUUACUAUCGCUCUCACUACAUUAUCGAAUUGGUAUUCAAUGAAAAGAGGAUUGAUCACAAUAUAAGUUGGUAUAAUUACUCAGUACCUAAUUUGUGUUCUAUUAUUUUAUACUUUAAUAUCUUUUUUUGUACUUUAAUCUCAUUUAUUUAUAUUUAUUUUAUUAAAUAUACCUUGAUAUCAUAUAUUUGUACUCUCAUUUAAUAUCCUAAAUUUUAUCAUAUAUCUUCAAUGAUCGAUUUUCAAUGAUUGAAUUAUGUGUUUAGAAGGUACUGAAUCGGUACUUACUAAUUUUCAUUAUUUUUAAAGCAAAAGGUAAAUUGACAUUUGGUAUGUAUGAUGUGCAAUCAUGCCUCAUAAAGCCAAAACAAAGCAAAGAAUAUAUAUAUAUAUAUAUAUAUAUAUAUAUAUGCCAAAGACAUGAGAAUAAAGCAUGAUUCCAAUUCCAAAAGGGUUGAGAGAUUUAAGACCCACUUUAUAGAGCAACCAUGUGAUAAAUACACCAAUUGAAAUAUAUAUAUAUAUAUAUAUAUAUAUAUAUAAUAUACAUAGUCCAUUCCUUCUUUUGGCCUUUAAUAAACCCUAGAUUCUCAUAUACCUUUUUUUUUUUUUUUAUUCUAGUUGUCAGUGAAAUAACAAUAACCCAUUAAAUGGAAAAUACAUAAUUCAUAAUAGAAAUCAUUUUUUUCGGUUUUCUAUCUUAUUUUGUUGAAAUUAGAAACUACCCAUUUUUUUUAUUAAAAAAAAGAAAAAAAGAAAAAAAAGAAAAAUCUGUCUCGACUGAAGUUGGUCAGUAUAGACUUGCAGCCAUGUGUAUGUUAUUAAUUCUAUUUUUUUUUUGAAGGCAUAGGAAAGUUUCUAAAUAGAAAAAGUGAAGCUUCUCAAAAACGUCAUAUAGCAUAUGUGCGUAAAAAAUACUUGCACCACCUGAGCUGCUUCUUCAUACAUACUUCUCCUUCAUCUCUCUGUCUAUCAUAUUCUUGGCUUUCUUUUGCUAUGUGGUUGUUAUUGUUGUUGAAGAUGAUGAUGAUGAUGAUGAAGAAGAAGCUUCUUUCAAUUGUUAGUGCCAUCACUGGGGAAAAUGAUAAGAAGAAGAUCGAGGGAACUAUUGUGUUGAUGAAGAAGAAUGUGUUGGAUUUUAAUGACUUCAAUGCACCGGUUCGGGACCGGGUUCAUGAGCUUUUUGGACAGGGAGUCUCUCUGCAGCUCGUCAGUGCUGUUCAUGGUGAUCCUGGUGAGUUUUUUUUUUUUUUUUUUUCCUUCAUGUUUUUGAUGAUGGGGUUGUUGAAGUUGGAGGAGAGGAGGUUGAUACCGUUUUGUGAGGGUGAGAUGGGUUCUGAAUUUUGAUGAUAGCAAUUGGAAAAAGAUGUGAUUUUUGGAAGAGGCCAAGAGGGGUUGUUAUUCUCAGAGAUGAGUCAAAUGACUUUCUUGACAUCUUCCAUUCAAGUGGCCAUUUUUCUAAGUGCUUUUGUUUUUUGUGUUUUGUGUUUUUUGUUUUGAUGCUUUUGUAGCAAAUGGGUUACAGGGGAAAAUUGGAAAACCAGCAUACUUGGAAGACUGGAUUAUCACAAUCACUUCUUUAACCGCGGGCGAGUCUGCAUUCAAGGUCACGUUCGACUGGGAUGAGGAGAUUGGAGAGCCAGGGGCAUUCAUAAUUAGAAACAAUCACCACAGUGAGUUUUACCUCAGGACUCUCACUCUUGAAGAUGUUCCUGGACGUGGCAGAAUUCACUUUGUUUGUAAUUCCUGGGUCUACCCUGCUCAGCACUACAAAACUGACCGUGUUUUCUUCACUAAUC